UUUAGUUUUGAUUGGGCGGGUAUUAAUUUUUUUUAGAAAUAUUCUAUGUUUUUAUGACGCAUUAUUUAAAUAUUGAAUAUUUUAUUAAAAAUAUUUAAAAUUAUAUUUAAUUAACGAUUUAGUUUUGAUUUUGGGGUAUUAAAAUUUUUUUAGCAAUAUUUAACACUUCUAUAGCGCGCCAAAUUUUAAUACUCAUCAAAAUUAAUUAAAUCUACUAUCUUAUGUAAAGAAAAAUUUACUAUUAUGAAUUGAAAUUCAAAUUAUCAAAUUCGCGGAUAUUAAAUUUUGGCGGGCAUUACAAAUUUAAAAUUUAAUUUUGAAUAUUAUGUAAUUGACAAGUAUUAUGUUUGAGAAAAAAAAAUAUUUGAGAAAACGCUUGAAUAGAAAUAAAUUUAAUUUUACGUAUUAUGUGAUUAGCGGAGGUAUUACGUGAUUGUCGGGUAUUACGCUAGAUAAGAGAUAAAUUUAGUUUUACGUAUUAUAUGAUUGGUGGGUAAAAUAAAAAAAAAUUUGAGAAACGCGGCGUAGAUAGGAGAUAACGGAUAUUGAGGAUAUUUUUGUCAAUAAAAAUGACAGAUACUUUUAUUUUUAUUCAUUGGAUGAGAUCCAAUGGCGAAAAUUUAAUAUUUAUAUUUGAGAAUAAAUUAUUAUUUGAAGAUUUAUUUAAAAUGUAUAAGAUAUAUUCUAUAUUUGAGAACAUAGAGAAUAUUUCGGUGGGUAUUAUUUAAAUAUUAAAUAUUUUGCUAAAAAUAUUUAAAAUUAUAUUUAAUUAACGAUUUAGUUUUGAUUGAAAUAUUCUAUACUUUUAUGACGCAUUAUUUAAAUAUUGAAUAUUUUGCUAAAAAUAUUUAAAAUUAUAUUUAAUUAACGAUUUAGUUUUGAUUGGGCGAGUAUUAAUUUUUUUUAAAAAUAUUCUACACUUUUAUGACGCAUUAUUUAAAUAUUGAAUAUUUUGCCAAAAAUAUUUCAAUAUAAUUAAUGAUUUAGUUUUGAUUUGAGGGUAUUAAAAGUUUUUUGACAAUAUUUAACGCUUCUAUGAUGCGCCAAAUUUUAAUACUCAUCAAAAUUAAAUUUACUAUCUUAUGUAAGAAAAAAUCUACUAUUAUAAAUUAAGAUUCAAAUUAUCAAAUUCGAGGGUAUUAAAUUUUGGCGGGUAUUACAAAUUUAAAAUUUAAUUUUGAAUACUACGUAUUGGCAGGUAUUACAUUUGAAAGGAAAAAAUAUUUGAGAAAACACGUUGAUAGGAAAUAAAUUUAAUUUUACGUAUUACGUGAUUAGCGGAGGUAUUACGUGAUUGAUAGGUAUUACGUUAGAUAAGAGAUAAAUUUAGUUUUACGUAUUACAUGAUUGAUGGGUAAAAAGAAAAUAUUUGAGAAACGCGGCGUAGAUAGGAGAUAACGAAUAUGGAGGGUAUUAAUGUCACAAAAAGUGACAGAUACUUUUAUUUUCAAUCGUUAAAUAAGAUCUAAUGGCAAAAAAUUAAUAUCUUUAUUUGAGAAUAAAUUAUUACUUAGUGAAUUAUUUGAAAUGAUUGGUUGAAAAUUACUGGAUAUGAAAAUAUUAGUAAAAAGGAUAGAGGCAUUUUUGGAAAGAGGAAACAAUUCAAAACUCACGCUUUUAUAAGUAGUAUAGAUAAAGAAGGAAUAAAUUAAAUUUAAUCCAUCUAAUUAAUUAACAUAAUAAAAGACAAUAAAUGAGAAUAAUUAUAAAAUUAAAUGAUAUUUAGAGAUUUUGAAUUUUUCACCAAUAUAAACAAUGGGAUUUUGCUACUAACAGUAACCCAGUCCAACUCAUAUAGAAUUAGGCUGGAAUACUAUUAAUAGUAAAACGCUCUUUUUGCUAUCAAGUUUUUAACCCUUGGAUGAAAAAUUNNNNNNNNNNNNNNNNNNNNNNNNNNNNNNNNNNNNNNNNNNNNNNNNNNNNNNNNNNNNNNNNNNNNNNNNNNNNNNNNNNNNNNNNNNNNNNNNNNNNNNNNNNNNNNNNNNNNNNNNNNNNNNNNNNNNNNNNNNNNNNNNNNNNNNNNNNNNNNNNNNNNNNNNNNNNNNNNNNNNNNNNNNNNNNNNNNNNNNNNNNNNNNNNNNNNNNNNNNNNNNNNNNNNNNNNNNNNNNNNNNNNNNNNNNNNNNNNNNNNNNNNNNNNNNNNNNNNNNNNNNNNNNNNNNNNNNNNNNNNNNNNNNNNNNNNNNNNNNNNNNNNNNNNNNNNNNNNNNNNNNNNNNNNNNNNNNNNNNNNNNNNNNNNNNNNNNNNNNNNNNNNNNNNNNNNNNNNNNNNNNNNNNNNNNNNNNNNNNNNNNNNNNNNNNNNNNNNNNNNNNNNNNNNNNNNNNNNNNNNNNNNNNNNNNNNNNNNNNNNNNNNNNNNNNNNNNNNNNNNNNNNNNNNNNNNNNNNNNNNNNNNNNNNNNNNNNNNNNNNNNNNNNNNNNNNNNNNNNNNNNNNNNNNNNNNNNNNNNNNNNNNNNNNNNNNNNNNNNNNNNNNNNNNNNNNNNNNNNNNNNNNNNNNNNNNNNNNNNNNNNNNNNNNNNNNNNNNNNNNNNNNNNNNNNNNNNNNNNNNNNNNNNNNNNNNNNNNNNNNNNNNNNNNNNNNNNNNNNNNNNNNNNNNNNNNNNNNNNNNNNNNNNNNNNNNNNNNNNNNNNNNNNNNNNNNNNNNNNNNNNNNNNNNNNNNNNNNNNNNNNNNNNNNNNNNNNNNNNNNNNNNNNNNNNNNNNNNNNNNNNNNNNNNNNNNNNNNNNNNNNNNNNNNNNNNNNNNNNNNNNNNNNNNNNNNNNNNNNNNNNNNNNNNNNNNNNNNNNNNNNNNNNNNNNNNNNNNNNNNNNNNNNNNNNNNNNNNNNNNNNNNNNNNNNNNNNNNNNNNNNNNNNNNNNNNNNNNNNNNNNNNNNNNNNNNNNNNNNNNNNNNNNNNNNNNNNNNNNNNNNNNNNNNNNNNNNNNNNNNNNNNNNNNNNNNNNNNNNNNNNNNNNNNNNNNNNNNNNNNNNNNNNNNNNNNNNNNNNNNNNNNNNNNNNNNNNNNNNNNNNNNNNNNNNNNNNNNNNNNNNNNNNNNNNNNNNNNNNNNNNNNNNNNNNNNNNNNNNNNNNNNNNNNNNNNNNNNNNNNNNNNNNNNNNUGCUAUAUCACCACUUUUUAUGAGAUUUUUAUUUUCAGCCGUUAAUUUUGAACCCUUUCGAUCGUUAGGUAAAUGAUAUCGAAAAAUCGCAAAAUUUAUUUUCUAGUUACUUCAAAUAUGCUAGAUCAAAUCUAACAGAGCCGAUCGCCGAUUCGAAAAUUCUAUAAUCGAAAACGGCUUAGGAGCACGGAGGCUUCCGUGCUCCUAAUAGCACACAAGACCUACUCUACAUAUAUAUAUAACUAGGCUGGAAUACUAUUAAUAGCACUAAUAACUUGGUGUUAUUAAGUUUUCUGUCCUUUAAUUAAAAGAUGUGCGGUUAGGAUGAUAUGGGCCCCCUAGCAUUGAGUAGGUAGUUAGUUAAAUAGUAUAAUCGAACGGAUGAAAAUGAUAAAAGAGGUAAAUCUAACGGCAGAAAACUUGAUAGCACCAAAUGGUUCGUGCUAUCGAUAGUACCCCAGCCGGACUCUCUCUCUCUCUCUCUCUCUCUCUCACUGUGUGUAUAUAUAUAUAUAUAUAUAUAUAUAGAGUUCGGCUACUAUACUAUUAUGAGUACGAUCGCUCUCGUACUCAUAAGUUGUUUUCGUUAAACGUUAAACAACGUUAAACGUUAUAUCUAGAGCAUUUGAAAUAUCCAGAAAUCAAAUUUCAUAAUUUUUCGACAUCAUUUACCUUACGAUCAAAAGCUCACAAAAUUGACAAUUUUUAACGGCCGGUAUGAAAUACUUGCUAGUUUAAUGGUGCAAAAGAAUCCGAAUAGGUUGAAUUUUUUAUAGAAAAUUCUAUUCACUACCUAGAUAAAGAUCAAUAACUCCGAUCUGAAAUUGAAGGAUCCGAUCAUCCUUUUUAAGACAUCGUUCGAUUUUGACCGUUCAUUUUAUGCUCGCUUGAUGGGCUUUAUUAUGAUUUUGAAAAAUUACGAAAUUUAUUUUCUAGAAGUUUCAAAUACUCUAGAUCAUAUUUAACGGAGUGGAUCGUCGAUUCGGAAGCUCCUUCAUCGAAAAGAACUUAUGAGUACGAAGGGCCCAAUACUGAUAAAUAGUAUAGUAACCCUACUCUAUAUAUAUAUAGAGUACGAUCGCACUUGUACUCAUAAGUUGUUUUUGAUAAUAGAGCUUCCGAAUCGACGAUCCACACCGUUAAACGUUAUCUAGAGCAUUAAAAUCAAAAUUUAUAAUUUUUCAACAUCAUUUACUUUACAAUUAAAAGGUCACAAAAUUGACAAUUUUUAACGGUUGGUAUGGGAUAUUUGCUAGUUUAACGGUGUACAAGAAUCGAAAUUGGUUGAAUUUUUUUAUAGAAAAUUCUUACAUGAAAGAAUGCCACUUACUUGCAUGGUUACUAUGUACAUAUCUCUCUACUACAUAGAGGUAAAAUUGUAUGAUACAUAAUGUAUGCAUUUUAAGCAUUCUAAAAUUUCCAUAUGCUCUAUCUAGUAUGAUAUGUAUGAUUUUUUAUUUUACAAUAAAGAAUAUAACAUAGGGGGAGUUCAUCCAUUUCGGUGAGGUCAAACCCACCGGAUCUCCUUGCAACCCUUUUAUUUGCGCGAACGAAUGUGCCCAUAAGUCUCCUAACUUCCUAGAGAAAAUUCUAAGAGGGUUAAACGAAAUGAACGAACACCACACGCGUUCAUCUUUAACCAACCCAACAUUAGGUCAAAACUCACCUUAUAUGGUGUAGAACUCUUCCAGACCUCAAAUGGUGGCUAGGAUCCUUCUAAUCCAACCUAAAAUGAAGUUCUACACCCAUCAAUUAAGUCCCAAAAGCUACAAAUCAAAAGCUCCCAAAUAAAACCCUAAAUUCUCAUUUCUAUGUUUUCAUCUCUAAAAAUCCAACAAAACAUGAUCUAAAAGGAAGAUCAAAGCUACUGACCUCUCUUGAAGCCCCAAACCAAACUAGGAGUGAGUUAGGGUUAAAAAUCUUUCCUCAAGAAAGCUCCACUCUCCAAUCCAAGGCUUCUCCAAUCGUGAAAAUUCAACAUGAAGCAAGAGGAGAGGAAAAGAGAUCAAUCCAAACAAAAACCUCAAGAAAAGAGAGAAAUCCAAGGGAGGGGAGCUCUACCUGUGCUCUCCACAGUUUAGGGCUCAAAAGAGCUCUCUAAGGUUGUGAGGUGUUAUAUAGAGUAGCUACAAUAGCAAAAACACCCCUUCAAAAUAAGCAGUCUGCGGACUGCCCUGCGUACCAGUGACACGGGGAAAAGUACCGGUACCAAGCUGCUGAGCUCGCCAAACCUGAGCCUCGGUCAAGCAGGAAAACACACUGCAUACCGGUACCAGGUCCAGUACCGGUACUCGGGCAAUACAUUACCGGUACUCUGCCUCGCAGAGCUCAAACCCGAGAGCUCUCCUCUCGGUUACGCAACGCCAUUCCGGUACCUCUUCUCUGGUACUAGUAUCGGUACCAGCACCCGAAAACCUACAGCUUGAAGGUUUUGGUGCUAAGUACUCAUCCUCGCUCCUCAAGACGCGAGUAAUGGGUCGGAUCACCGUCAACGACCCUUCAGAAAAUCUGGAAAAGCUCAGAACACUAAUCAAACACUCGAAUCUUACAAUUUGCUAAAGUUCAAUGUAUUACAUUCUCCCCUCCUAAAAGGGAGUUUUGUUCGCGAAACUGGAAUUCGCAUUUCUCAAGCCUCCAUCUGAAAGCGAUGGGGAUAGCGCUCCUGCAGUGCGCUCUCCAACUCCUGCGUAGCCUCUCGCUCAUCGUGGUUGCUCCAAAGAACCUUCACAUAAGGAAUAUCGCGAUUUCGAAACUUCUUCACAUCGCGGGCCAAAAUCCUCACUGGCUGCUCUUCAAAGCUCAAGUCCUCCCAUAACUCCAAUGGCAAAGCAUCCUAAACAUGAGUCGGGUCGAAGAUGUACUUUCGGAGGAUCGAAACAUGAAAGACAUUGUGCACUCCCGAUAGGUUCGGCGGUAGAGUAAGUCGAUAUGCUACCGGGCCUUCACGCUCCAAAAUCUCAUACGGUCUAAUAAACCGGGGGCUCAACUUACCCCGAAUACCAAAUCUUUUAAUUCCCUUAGUCGGCGAGACCUUUAAGAAUACAUGAUCUCCGACUUGGAAUUCCAAAUCUUGCCGAUGCUUAUCAGCGUAGCUCCUCUGUCGGCUUUGAGCUGUCAACAAACACUCCCGAGCAAUGCGAACUUUAUCCUCAGUUUCCUGGAGUACAUCGGGGCCUAAAGUCAGUCUCUCGCCAACUUCACUCCAAUGAAGAGGUGAUCUACACUUUCGUCUAUAAAGUGCUUCGAAAAGUGUCAUCUUCAUGCUUGCUUCAUAACUAUUGUUAUAAGCAAACUCUGCCAUCGGUAAAUGCUGUGACCAUCCUCCUUGGAAGUUUAUCACGCACGCUCGAAGCAUAUCCUCUAGAGUCUGAAUAGUGCGUUCCGAUUGCCCAUUACUCUGAGGGUGAAAAACCGUACUGAAAUCCAAAUGCGUACCCAAGGUAUCCUGCAGACUCCUCCAAAAAAGGGAUACAAAUCGGAGAUCUCGAUCUGAAACUAUUGAAGUAGGUGCCCCGUGAAGUUGUACAAUCUCAUCAAGAUAUACCUGUGCAAGUCUCUCACCUGUCCAAGUCGUGUGAAUAGGAAUAAAGUGAGCCGACUUCGUCAAUCUAUCCACGAUCACCCAAAUAGCAUCAUGCCCGGCUUGUGAGUGAGACAAUCCCAUAACAAAAUCCAUAAUGAUCCUUUCCCACUUCCACACGGGAAUAAGUAAACUUUGAAGUUUCCCAGCGGGUAAUCGGUGCUCAGCUUUCACUUGUUGACAAGUUAGACAUCGAGCUACAAACUCGCCAACAUUCUUUUUCAUCCCGGGCCACCAAUACAAUAACCUCAAGUCCUUGUACAUCUUGGUGCCUCCCGGAUGUAUAGCAUAAGAUGCAUGAUGAACUUCAAGAAGAAUAUCCUCUUUAAUUCCUGAUUCCGCCGGUAUACAAAUCCGCUCGCGGAAACGCAACAACACUUGGUCGUCCACAAGAAAAUCACCGGUGCAACCGUCAGCCAUUUUAGUUCGAAUCUUUUGCAACUCCACAUUAUGAACUUGCAUUUCUUUAAUCCUUUCCAACAAUGUUGGUUGCACCACCAAAGCCAUCAAUCUCAAGGGUGUAUCAGGAGCCACCACUUUCAACUCCAACCGUUUCAUUUGCUCAAUCAACGGGGGUUGUGUGGCUACAAGCAUCGCUAAGUUUUCCAUCGAUUUCCGACUUAGCGCAUCCGCCACCACGUCAGCCUUACCCGGGUGGUAGAGAGUCGUCAAAUCAUAAUCCUUGAGUUGCUCCAACCAUCUGCGCUGCCUCAAGUUCAACUCCUUCUGAGUGAAUAAAUACUUUAGGCUCUUGUGAUCCAUGUAUACUUCGCACCGCUCGCCAUAAAGAUAAUGUUGCAAUAGCUUUAAUGCAAAAACUACGGCCGCCAACUCCAAAUCAUGCGUAGGAUAGUUCUUUUCAUAUUCCUUCAAUUGGCAAGAUGCAUACACGAUCACUUUUCCGUCUUGCAUCAAGAUACAACCCAAUCCGUUAAAGGAAGUAUCACUAUAAAUCACAUAUCCUGCUCCUGCAAUAGGCAAGGUUAGGAUCGGGGCGGUCACCAACCGAUCCUUCAACUCUUGAAAGCUCUUCUCGCACGCAUCAUUCCAAAUCAAAUUGGUGCCUUUGUGCGUGAGCCGCGUGAGGGGAGUAGAUAAUUUUGCAAACCCCUCAACAAAUCUCCGAUAGUAACCGGCCAAUCCAAGGAAGCUCUGAAUUUCCGUGACAGUCAUCGGUCUAGGCCAAUCCUUGAUAGCUUCAAUCUUUCUAGGGUCCACGGCUAUACACGACCUCAAGAUCAAAUGUCCCGAAAAUGCAACUUCUUGAAGCCAAAAUUCACAUUUCUUCAGCUUGACAAAGAGCUUCUUUUCCCGAAGCAUUUGAAGUACAAGUCUUAAAUGCUCCUCGUGAUCCUUAUCACUUCGGGAAUAAACCAAAAUAUCGUCGAUGAACACCACGACGAAUCUGUCUAUAUAAGGCUUAAAAACACGGUUCAUUAGAUCUAUAAAAGCUGCCGGGGCAUUGGUAAGCCCAAACGGCAUAACAGUGAACUCUUAAUAUCCAUACCGUAUUCUAAAAGCCAUUUUCGACACAUCCUCAGGUUUGAUCUUUAACUGGUGAUAUCUCGACUGCAAGUCAAUCUUGGAAUACACCUUAGAUCCUUGAAGCUGAUUAAACAAAUCAUCAAUCCUCGGCAACGGAUACUUGUUCUUGAUCGUGACUUUAUAGAGCUCACGAUAAUCCACGCACAAGUGAAGUGAUCCGUCCUUCUUCUUCAUGAACAAAACUGGUGCUCCCCAAGGCGAGACGCUCGGUCGGAUGAAACUUUUAUCCAGUAAAUCCUGCAACUGUGCCCUCAGCUCUUUCAACUCAGCCGGUGCCAUCCUAUAGGGUGCCUUUGAGAUUGUAGUAGUCCAAGGAACGAGAUCUACCACAAACUCAAUCUCUCUAUCAGGCGGCAUGCUUGGUAGCUCCGCUGGAAACACAUCACAAAACUCCCGUACUACCGCCGGGAUAUCCUCAAUCCUAAGGGUGUCAUCACCACCCCUCAGCACAACACUAGCCAAGUAGGCCGUACAACCCAUGCUGAUCAACUGUCUAGCUCGAGACGAGCUGAUCGUCAUCGCAAACAGCGAACUCUGACAUCCCCUGAACACCACUUUCUCCUCCCCCGGUUCUCUAAAAAUUACCAUUCUAUUCUUGCAAUUGAUAAUGGCGAAAUACUUGGUAAGCCAAUCCAUGCCCAAAACCACAUCAAACUCUCCAAGUUUGUGCAAUGUAAGCAGAUCCAUGGGCAUGAUCCAAUCUCCUACCCGAACAGGGCAACUGGGGCAAAACUCCCGAAUGUCCAACGUGUGGUCGGGCACAACAACACGUUUAGGAUGCAACAAAGAUACAAAUGGGAUGCCAUGCAACUCGGCAAACAGCCGAUUUAUGAAUGAAUGCGAUGCACCGGUAUCAAAUAAUGCUCGAACUCUAAUGCUAUUUAAUAAAAUAAUACCUGCCACCACAUCCUCGGCGGCUGCCGCCUCCACUGUCUGGGCCGCGUACAUAAGUCCGCUCGGGGCCUGUCGUGACCCCUCAGUCUGUCUCUGGACGGGCGGCCGCCCAGUCUGGUGGUAAGUAGAAGGAGUCCCCUGGCUAGGACCCGGUGAAGCCGGUGCCAAUGCAGGCGAUGGCGCUGGAAUAGAGCCCCUCGGGCAAUUAGUAUGAAAAUGGCCCUCUUGGCGACAUAAGUAGCACCUGCCCUGAUGUCGUGUGCACUGUCGUGGAGGAUGAGAACCACCGUAGAUCACACAAUGCGGAGUCUGGGGAUGAUCAAAACCUCCGCGCUGCGCGGCCGAGCCGCACCCUCACGACUGGCUCUUGGGAUGUCUCGGCAGCCUCCUAGAGCGCGUCUGACUCGCACCCUCAGCCGCGGGCCUCUUACCCUUACCCUUGUCCAAGCCCUCUCGGCGCUCCUGUACAUCCGUCGUGCCACUUUCCACAAUGAGUGCGCGGUUCACCACAUCUCGAUAGGUCUAGAGGUUAGAGGAUUGCACAAACUGAAAAAUUGAUGGCCGAAAUCCACGCUCAAAAAUGCAGGCCUUGUCUUCGUCAUCCCGCACGACGAAAUGCACACAAUGCAAGAGUCAGAAGAACACCCGCUCGUACUCUGCCACAGUCCGAUCCCCCUGGUGCAAGCCGUGCAUAUCUAUUUCCAUCUGUCUUUUGACGCUAUCCGGGGAAUACAUGGACACAUCAAAAGCUCCUUAAACCACCUCCAAGAAAUAGCUGAUAGAUCGGUGUUGGGGUUAUCUCGAAUGUCCAACCACCAACGAUAGGCCUCGCCGUCAAGAUGGUGAGUAGCGAGCCAUACCCUAUCACGCUCCUCUACAAAGGUGUCGUGGAAUAAUUUCUCCAUAUGUAUAAGCCACUUCUCCAUGAUCUAGUGGUCCACUUUCUCCGCGUUGAAGAUCCGUAGGUUGCACCUCCUGAACUCGUUGAGGCGAUCCAUAAGUCGGUCUUGCUCCGCUCCCUCAACCAUCACCGAAAAAAUCGCUCCCGCCAAAGACACCUGAGCUGGUGGUGCCACAAAAACCUCCUCUCGAGGCUCAACAAUAGACGCCGCUCGCGGAACACCGGGCACGGGGGACGGCGCCCUCGUGCCACAUCCUCAACCGGUGCUGGUGGUGCGGGAACCUGAGCCUCCCUAGCAGCAGCCUGCUGAAGCAACAAGUCCUCCAGUCGCUUCAUCCGUGUCUCCUGUCGGUGCCCCACAUCGGCCUGCCGCUGCCCCGUCGCUGCCUGCUGAGCCACUAAAUCAGUGAGGACCGCAAGCUGGGUCCUCAAAUCUCGAACCUCACUAGAUCCGAAGGUAGCGUAGGUCUCCACCUCCUCAAGGUUUGCCGCAUUCUCCGCCCCAACUGAUUUAGAGCAAGUAGUUGGCAUGAUCACUACAAAAGCAUAAAAGCGCAAAUUAGUAAAACCCACGUUAUCGCAACCCCACUCAAAUAGAAUAAGACUCCCAAUCAUGCAAAAGUAAAGAAGUGUCUUUUACUACUAACUCCCGAUGUUACGUUGUUGGCCGCCAACGUAACCCUUCGCGAAGCUAGAAGCUAUACACUUCGAUUAAACUCCAACUUUUUAGAGUUAUCAUAAAACCCAAUCGUGAUACUUUCGCUUACAAGUCAAAUAGACCUCGUCUCUCACGAGCCUAUUUCCUAUAGUCCAAUCGGCCUAAGGUUUGCUAGGUCCACUAAGACUCAACCCUAGGCUGUGAUACCAAAAUAAUCUGUCACGCCCCGGGGCCCAGCGGAAGCCCGCCUGGCGCGUGUCCAGACUCGCCAUAUGCCUACAACAUAUAAGGCGUCUACAACAAUAGUAUAUGAAAAUAAGAAAGAUGAAGCAUCUAAUAGGAUAUCAGAGCAUAAAGACAUCUAUAUUCUAGCAACAAGUAGAAUGAAAAGGGCUAAACAACUAGCAUAAAUUAUAAAAUAACCAUACAACUGAGAUCCAUGAACAUAACGCUAAAUACAAAAAUAAUGGUCUCUAUACAUAGGGUACAAAAAAUCUCUCUCUCUUUCCAACUAGAACCAAAAGAGAGAUGACCACCUAGAGCAAUAAUCCUCGCUGUCUAGCUAAACGCGACCCCUUUGCCGCGGUCCCUAGGCUCUCCCGGUGCGGGUGGUUCUGAAAUAAAAACAUCAACAUAGAGGGCAUGAGAACUAUUAAUCAAUAGUUCCCAGUGGGUAAGCCGCCGACCUCAGCGAAAUACACCACUAGGUUAUAGAGGCAAGUAGUAAAAGUAAAUUGCAAUAAACAACAUAAAUAGUCAACAACUAUAACUUGCUAAGCUACUAUGCCUCAAAUAAGCAUGAUGUUCUUCAAGUAACAUUACUACUCUAUCAUGAUGAGUAUGUCGAACACAUGUCUACUAGAAUGCACUAGGCAUGUCCAAUAUGUCCGAUAGUAUGCACUAAGCAUGUCACUAUAUGCACCAAGCAUGUCACUAUAUGUACCAAGCAUGUCCGAGGAAUCCAACUACUAUAUACUAUCUAGUAGUGAUUGUCACAUUAACGGUUUACAUAUCAUUUUCCAAAUCCAAUUUAGGACUUACACGAGUGUAGUCUGGCUUGUGCCGCCUAAUGGCCUCGGGUAGUCCAGCAUUUUUUCGUAGGAAUGUGACUGUUCCACGGCGACCCAGUAGAGAACCCAAUACCGCACGGCGAGCAUAUGUCGUAUAGGCCAACUCCGGAGUGCCGGCUUGUGGGGAACGACCCUCACAAGCAUGUGCGAAUGAGCACAUAUGGCAAGCAAGCAUAAUCAUUAUCUCGAGUAUCCGGUCAUCAUGUCUCAAAUAUGGUAUAAAUACUAGCAACCCAAAGAUCUAGUUCUAUGUCAUAAUAUAAAGGUUUAACCGUUUACUAAGUCUAAUGCCAUUUUAUGACAUUAUGUUUUACUAUGUCAAUAUAUAUUCCAAGUCCAAUGUCAUUUUAUGACAUUAUGUUCACUAUGUCCAUAUAUGAGUUUUAAGUCCAAGAGCAUGUUAUACUUAUCAUUUUCACUAAAUGAAACAUGAUUUCAAGCCAUAUAAAAGAAUGCCACUCACUUGCAUGGUUACUAUGUACAUAUCUCUCUACUACAUAGAGGUAAAAUUUUAUGAUACAUAAUGUAUGCAUUUUAAGCAUUAUAAAAUUUCCAUAUGCUCUAUCUAGCAUGAAUAUGCAUGAUUUUUUAUUUUACAAUAAAGAAUAUAAUAUAGGAGGAGUUCACCCAUUUCGGUGAGGUCAAACCCACCGGAUUUCCUUGCAACCUUUUUAUUUGCGCAAACGAAGGUGCCCACAAGCCUCCUAACCCCCUAGAGAAAAUUCUAAGAGGGUUAAACGAAAUGAACGAACACCACACACGUUCAUCUUUAACUAACCCAACAUUAGGUCAAAACUCACCUUGUAUGGUGUAGAACUCUUCCAAACCUCAAAUGGUGGCUAGAAUCCUUCUAAUCCAAUCUAAAAUGAAGUUCUACACCUAUCAAUUAAGCCCCAAAAGCUACAAAUCAAAAACCCCCAAAUAAAACCCUAGAUUCUCAUUUCUAGGUUUUCAUCACUAAAAAUCCAACAAAACAUGAUCUAAAGGGAAGAUCAAAGCUACUGACCUCUCUUGAAUCCCCAAACCAAGUUAGGAGUGAGCUAGGGUUAGAAAUCUUUCCUCAAGAAAGCUCCACUCUCUAAUCCAAGGCUUCUCCAAUGGUGAAAAUCCAACAUGAAGCAAAGAGAAGAGGAAAAGAGAGAUCAAUCCAAGCAAAAACCUCAAGAAAAGAGAGAAAUCCAAGGGAGGGGUUCUCUACCUAUGCUCUCCACGGUUUAGGGCUCAAAAGAGCUCUCUAAGGCUAUGGGGUGUUAAAUAGAGUAGCUACAAUAGCAAAGACACCCCUCCAAAACAAGCAGUCUGCGGACUGCCCUGCGUACCGGUGACACCGGAAGAGUACCGGUACCAAGCUGCUGAGCUCGCCAAACCCGAGCCUCGGUCAAGCAGGAAAACACACUGCGUACCGAUACCCGCGCGAUGCAGUACCGGUACCAGGUCUAGUACCGGUACUCGAGCAAUGCAGUACCGGUAGUCUGCAUCGCAGAGCUCAAACCCGAGAGCUCCCCUCUCGAUUAUGCGACGCCGUUCCGGUACCCGUUCUCUGGUACCGAUACCAGCACCCCAAAACCUACAGUUUGAAGGUUUUGGUGCUAAGUACUCAUUUUUGCUCUUUAAGACGCGAGUAAUGGGUUGGAUCAUCGUCAACGACCCUCCAGAAAAUCUGAAAAAACUUAGAAUACUAAUCAAACACUCGAACCUUACAAUUUGCUAAAAUUCAGUGUGUUACACGAACGAACUAGAAAUAUACCUUUGCAUAAAACUUAUCAAAGAAAAAUAAUUUCUGACUGAGGAUAUAUAUUAAAUUUUGUGACCUUUUGAUCGUAAGAUAAAUGAUGUGAAAAAAUUAUAAAAUUUGAUUUCUAGAAGUUUUAAAUGCUCUAGAUAACGUUUAACGAUAUGGAUCGUUGAUUCAGAAGCUCUAUCAUCGAAAACGACUUAUAAGUACGAGGGCGAUCGUAUAUAGUAGCUGGACUCUCUCUCUCUCUCUCUCUCUCUCUCUCUCUCUCUCUCUCUUUCUAUAUAUAUAUAUAUAUAUAUAUAUAUAAUUGAGCUUCUAUANAAUAGUACCAACCCCUUGGUACUAUUAAGUUUUCGGCCGUUGGAUAAAAGGAUGUGCGGUUAGGAUGAUAGUGGUCCCCGGUUAAAUUGAUAGUGGUCCUCUAGGGUUGAGUGGGUGGUUGGUUUAAUAGUAUAAUCUAACGGGUGGAAAUGAUCAAAUGAUAGAUUUAACGGUAGAAAAUUCAAUAGUACCAAGGGCUUGGUACUAUUGAUAGUAUAGUAGCCGGACUAUAUAUAUAUAUAUAUAUAUAUAUAGUUAGGCUCCUGCACUUUCGAAAGCAUGGAGGCCUCCGUUUUUGUAAGUUAUUUUUGAUGAUAGGACAUCCGAUUCGAUAAUCGGCUCCGUCAGAUAUGAUCCACGAUAUUAGAACUAGUUUGAAGUCAAAUUUUAUAAUUUUUUUUAUUUCAUUUGCCUAAUGAAUGAGUAACCUCAAAAUGAACGGCUGAAAAUAAAAAUUUCAUAAAAAUAGUAAUAAAUGUUCAAAUUUCAAAUCGGAAGUGUUGAUUUUGCUCUUGAUGUUAAGUAAAAUUUGCUAUUAAAAUUUUAUAUAAUUUGGAUUCUUGUAUACCAUUGAACUUACAAACGUGCCACAUCAGUCAUUAAAAUAGUCAGUUUUGAGACCCAUUGAUUAUUUGGUAAAUGAUGUUGAAAAAUUACAAAAUUUAGUUUCUAAAUUAUUCUAAUAGAGUAAAUCAUAUUUAACUAAGCCAAUCGUCGAAUUAGAUGUCUCAUCAUCAAAACCAACUUAUAAGUAUGGAGGCCUUCAUGCUUUGGAAAGCGCCAGAGACGUACUGUAACGCCCCCAAUAGUCCCACAUCGGAUGGGAUACUGAUUCCGAUAAAUUUAUAUGAGGCCUACACGCUAGUAAUAAUAACUGAGCUUAAGCAUUUUGGGCGGGUGGUUUGGACCCAACGAGUUAUUGUUGCUACCAGGUCGGGUCGUUACAAUUGAUUGGAAUCAGUAUCCCAUCCGAUGUGGGACUAUUAGGAGCGUUACACGUACUCUCUCUCUCUCUCUCUCUCUCUCUCUCUCCUUCUCGGUCUACUACUAAAUAGCUACCUAUAUAGUACGGUGAUAUCUAUACUUAUAUAUAUAAUGCGAGGGCUGCUGUGCUCUCAGAAGCAACGGAGGCCUCCGGGUGCACUGAGCCCGUUUUCGACUGAUGGGAGUUUUCGAGAUUGAGACUGGCUCCGUUUAAACUUGACUCAUAUUUGAAGUUUCUAGAAAACUUUUAAUUUUUUGUGAUUUUCGAUACAUUUACUAGCAAUCGAUAAGGGAUUCAAAUCAAUAUAUUUAAACGGCUGAAAAUAAAAAUUCCUUACGUUAAAAAGUGGUGGAUGAUAGCAGUAAAAUUUUCGAUCGAGAAAUCAUUGAUCUUGUGUGUAGAUAGUAUACAAGGAAUUUUGUAUCAAGAAUUUCAGUCUGAUUUGAAUACUCUCUACACGUAACUUGAAACGACAUUAUAACCAACAUUUACAAAGAGUUAUGGAUUCUUGAAUCUUUCGAUCACUAGAGUAAAUGAUAUAAAACAGAAUCGCAAAAAUUAUUUUUCUAGGAACUUUAAAUGUGCCUAGAUCAAAGUCUAACGGAGGGCCGAUCGUCGAUUCGAAACAGUUCUCUCAUCGAGAAACACUCAGGAGGCACGGAGGGCUCCGUGUCAUGAUUUAUUUUCUUGGGUGUUUGAAAACAGAGAUGAAUGUUUAUUUUUUAUUCUUUCCUUUGGUGGUAAUUUGAUCACUAAGCUUCUGCGUAGAUUUUGAAAUUUUAUGUUCAAGUGAGGGCCAUAGCGUAUUUUGUGGGUGCAUUUUUUUCUUUGGAGAGACUGCAAUAAUCGCAUUAUCAUUUCAAACAACCGAUGCGUGGAUAACGCGAUGUGGCAAUCGAAUGUAGGCUAUGUAAUCAUCCCUUGGUAUUAUUUUUCUGGAAUUAUAUUGACCAGUGUCAUCUCUAUAAUUUUUUUUUUGCCUUCUUAAAAAUACUUGGCUGUUGAACUUACUUAUCAAGCUCUUUUUUUCAAUUAUAAAUAUUAUUGCAAAAUAGAGGAUAUGAUUGAAAGUGAAAAUUUAAAAGGGUGUAAUCAAUGCAAUGAAACUAGGUUUAGUAAACCUACAUUGAACCUCGAACGAUGAAAUUCUAAUUAAGUUGUCUUCUCUCUUAUUUCAAAUAAUAAUUUGAAUUCUAAAUUUUGCUUAAGAGUCAAUAAUUUCAUGGCUGUGAUAUUAAUUUUUUUUUUUUUUUUUGAGAAAAAGAUAGCACGCUACCCGCUUAAAUCAUUGGAACAAUAAAUUAAGCUACAUGGUGACAUCAUUUGUUAGUUAUGUUAGUUAAGGUGCAUAUCUUUCCUAACAUAUCCUCAAAAAUAGCAACAUAUAUAUAUAUUUUAUGGUCCCAUAUCAUGCAACAGCUUCAAUCCCAAGGAGAAAUAUAAUCAAAUCCAAUGGGGCCCCACUCCAUCAUUAAUUACUCACAUUAAAACAGAUGCCACUUUUCAAUUAAAAGGUAGGUUUUUUGAAUUUUUCUUUUUAAGAAAGAGAAAUCCACAUGUCCAAUUUUGCUAGGAGCUGAUCGGAUAAUUCAAAAUCGUUUAAAUCCAGCUAGUGAACCAACUAUUUCUAACGCAAGUGAUAAAUAAUUUGGUGGUCGGUCCUCGAGAUUUCAAAUUCGAUCGAUAUCUAAUUAUUUUUUAUUUUCAUCUAAGUUUAUUUUUUAAAAAAAAUAAACAAAGCAGAUAGCAUUCUACUUUUCUCUUAAAAAAAAAAAAAAAAAAUCCAGCUAGUGGAUAGUGACUAAGCUUGGUAAACCUGUCAGUUAAUAACAAAUCAUCUUUACUAGUAUUACCGUCACUUAUUUUACCCUCAAGGUCUAUUUAUUUUAGUGUAUAUUCCAGCUAUCUCAUUAAUAUAUAUUAGUCUUUAUAAAUAGAGUAUAGCUACUAUACUUAUACUUUCAAAAGUAUAGAAAGGUGGUGCUUCCAAUUUUUUGAUUCUUGGAUUAGUUUUUUUGACUAUUUCUAAUAUUUAGAAUAAUAUUACUAUCCUAAGGGGAACCACUCAAUCCUAAAAGGGACCAAUAUCAUCCGGAUCUUAUAAUUCUUGAUCCAAGAGCCAAAAAGUUGGAAGCACCAACUUUUUUAUAAUUCUAAAAUCAUAAUAGCUCUAUACUUAUAACUAAAGGGAUUAUAGUAAAUUUAUGAUAUAUCUAAGUUAAUUUUUUUUUAAAAAAAAAUCAAACAUAUAUAAGAAUAAUAUAAUAUUUCGACGUAUUCUACGAGACGAAAGAACUAGAAAUAUACCUUUGCAUGCUGAGGAUAUAUAUUAAAUUUUGUGGACCAAACACACCUAAAAGGAAACAGUUAGAUGGCAGGGGGAGAGAAAUCACUUGGAGCCACAUUUGAGAGACCAAGAAGUAGAUGAAAUUAAUGCAUGGAUAUUGAACGCACACAUCAUGGAGAUAACAAAAGAUCACGAGAGUUGAGAGAGAGAGAGAGAGAGAGAGAGAGAGAGAGAGAGAGAGAGAGGUGUGGAGGCAAAAUGCAUGUGAAGGGAUCUUGGAUUCAUGUGGGGAGGCACACCCUACACUCCAUUCAUAUUGACCCUCCAGUUGCUGAGCAAACGCUAAAGCUAAGCGUAGCCUAAAUCCCAAUUGCCAUAUAAUGCCAAGUANAAAAAUCGCAAAAAUUAUUUUCUAGGAACUUUAAAUGUGCUAGAUCAAGUCUAACGGAGCCGAUCGUCGAUUCGAAAAUUCUAUCAUCGAAAACGACUCAGGAGCACGGAGAGGCCUCCGUGCUAUGAUUUAUUUUCUUGGGUUUUGAAAACAGAGAUGAAUUUUUAUUUUUUAUUUUUCCUUUUGUGUAAUUUGAUCACUAAGCUUCUGCUACAUUUAAAUUUUUAUUUCAAGUAGGCCAAUAGCUUUUUGUGGGUCAUUUUUUUCUUUGGAAAAUGAAUAUCGCAUCAUCCAUUUCAAAACCGAUGCGAUAGCGAUGUGGCAAUCGAAUUAGCUAUGUAUCAUGCCCUUGUAAUUAUUUUUCUGGAUUAAUUAUGACCAUGUCAUCAUUAUAUUGCCUCUUAAAAAUAACUUGGCUGUUGAAUUACUUAUCAAGCUCUUUUUUCAAUUAUAAAUAUUAUUGCAAAAUUAAGGGAUAUGAUUAAAGUAAAAAUUUAAAAGCGAGUGUAUCAAUUGCAAUAAACUAAGGUUUAGUAAACCUACAUUGAACUCGACGAUAAAUUUAAUUAAUUGAUCUUUCUCUUAUUUCAAAUAAUAAUUUAAUUUAAGUUUUGCUUAAGAUGUCAUAAUUUCAUGGUGAUAUUAUUUUUUUUUUUUUUUUUCCGCUGAAAAUAAAAUCUAUAAAAAGUGGUGAUAUAGCACUAAAAUUUCGAUCAGAAAUAUUGAUCUUGUUGUAAAUAGUGACAAAGAAUUCUAAAUAUGAAAAUUUUAUGCUGAUUAAUACUUCUACACCACGUUAAACUUGAAACGCAGAUAUCAACGCAUGAAAAUUAUGAUUUUGAAUCUUUCGAGAUCCACUGAUAAUGAUAUAAAAAAAUUGUAAAAAUUAUUGCUAGAAACUUAAGCGUCCGUGCUCCAAAGCCGUUUUCGAUGAUGGAGCUUCCGAAUCGACGAUCGGCUCCAUUAGACUUAAUCUAGCCUAUUUGGACUAUCUAGAAAAUAAAUUUUGUGAUUUUUCGAUAUCAUUUACCUAGCGAUCGAAAGAGUUCAAAAUCAAUAAUUUUUAAUAGUUAAUGUAUAUUGUUUGCAAGUUUAACAGUGUAGAACUAUUCAAAUUAGAAAAAAAUUUGAUAGAAAAUUCUUUAUACUAUUUGCAGCAAGAUUAAUAUCUCUGAUCGAAAAUUUUAAUGCUAUAUUAUAACUUUUUGUAAGAUUUUUAUUUUCAGCUGUUGAUUUUAAACCCUUUCGAUCGCUAGGUAAUUAAAUGAUAUCGAAAAAUCAUAAAAUUUAUUUUCUAAAUACUUUAAAUACACUAGAUCAAAUCUAACGGAGCUAAUUGGAAAGUUUUAUCAUCGAAACGGCUUAGGAGCACGAAGGCCUCCGUACGCUUAAUAGCACACAAGACCUUCUCUCUCUCUCUCUCUCUCUCUCUCUCUCUCUCUCUCUCUCUCUCUCUAUAUAUAUAUAUAUUAUAUAUAGAGAGAGAGAGAGAGAGAGAGCUAGUCUCCUAUACUAUCUAUAGUACCGGAGCUCCGGUACUAUAGUCCCCUUUUCGAUAUUAGGGUGUUCAAAUCAACGAUCCACACCGUUAAAACUGAUCUAGCGUAUUUAAAGUUUUUAGAAAUAUAAUUUUAUACUUUUUCGACAAAAUUUACUUUAUGAUUAAACCAUUUCAAAAUUGUCAAUUUUCAAAGGCUAUUAUGGCGAGUUUGGAGUUUAACGGUGUAGAAGAAUCUAAAUUUCUUCAAAUUUUGAUAGAAAAUACUUUAAACUAUCUAGAUUAAGGUUAACAUUCUUGAUCUUGGAUUUAAAAGUCCUAUACUUAAAUUUUAAAGAUUAUUCAAUUUCCACCGUCCAUUUUGACAUAAUUUAUUUACUAAGUAAACGAUGUCGAAAAAAACUAAAAUUUUAUUUCUAAAAACUUCAUAUACCCUAGAUCACAUUUAACAGUGUGGAUCGUUAAUUUGAACACCCUAAGAUCGAAAAUAAAACUAUAGUACCAAAGCUUCGGUAUUAUAGAUAGUACUAAUUAUAUAUAUAUAUAUAUGUGUGUGUGUGUAUGUAUGUAUGUAUGUAUAUGCACAUGCAUAUAUGAAUAUAUACAACAAUAACAACUCUCUCACUCUCUUAUCCCUACUUCCUUAUAUAUAUCCUAACUCAUCUAUUUCUACUUCUCUUGCAAGGGAGAUGGAAGAUAGCCUCUUUACUCCCCCACCUCCUUCAUUGAUGCACCAGUAUCAUGACAGCCACCACGACCGUGAGUACGCGAAUCGCGACACCUACCGAGGAUUGUUCGCCUCCAACUUGGUGCUUCUGAUCGUACUGCCAUUACUCGUGCUCGCCUCGCUCGCCGUCAUCGCCUUCGUAGUCCUGCGAGUUUGUCGCAGGGGGAGUAAGCCUGAGAAUAUCAGCAGUAACAACAUCAGCAGCUACAACAGCAGCUUCCGAAAGCCCAGUUUCGGCACGAACCCGCUGUCGAAGUGUGGCAGUGAUCUGGACGCCAAAGUAUUCAUCAACAGCCCUGGUAAAAUCCGGUAUUCUUUGUUCCGUUGAUUCAUAAUUUAAGCUUACUUGGCAAUCCAUGCACAUAAAUAUUGAUGAUCUUUCUUUCUUUUAUUUUUCCCCUUUUUCCUAAGAUGUUGGUAGCUGUAUAUAUGGUGGUAAGUUGGGGUUUACUGCGAUGCAAGUUCGGAAUAACAAGAGACUGGGGCAAGUGUUCACCUACAAGGAGCUUGAGGCGGCCACUGAUGGGUUCAGUGAGAGCAAUGUGAUUGGUAAUGGGGGGUUCGGCGUCGUGUUUCGAGGCCGGUUGAGCGACGGCACCGUCGCGGCCAUCAAGAAGCUGCACAAGGAAGGGAAGCAAGGGGAGAGAGAGUUCCGGACAGAGGUAGUGACAGUACUAGUGUUCCUGAUCACCAAUUUUAGUUUUUUUUUUGAGAGAUAGGUAGCACGCUACCCGCUUUGCUUAUUUUAUUUAGAAAUAAACUUAGCUGGAAAUAUGAAUCAACUAGGAUUCGAACUUGGGUCUCGUGUACCAACCACCAAGCCCUUUGCCACUUGCUCCAGGGACGAUUGGUUCACCAAUUUUAGUUUUAGUUGGCAAAAAUGUAUGGAGAUCCAUCCAUCAACUGCAGGCCAUUUUGAAAUUUUGAAAUAGACCCCCUGCCCCCCUCAAAUAAGUCUCUUUCAAUUCAGAUCUUCUAAACUUUUGAUUAUUAUGAUUUGAGUUAUGAUGCUAUCAGUUGUUUAAAUAUAAUAAACGAGAUUUGCCGUUCGAUCAGGCAAAAUAGUGUUCAGAAAAUAUUAAUUCUAAUUUUAACGGAAUCGUCAUUAAAUUUUAACAAAAAUUUCCAAUUUAAUCAAAAGAAAAAUAGUUGAUGGGUCUAUUUUCACAAUGUACCAUUGCUCCUAUUAGUUUAUAUAUUUCUUGGCUUUAGUGGGCACUUGUUUAGUCUCUCUGUUCUUGUGGAACAAAUAAUCACAAUCAAACAUGCGCACCAAUUUUUUUAAUUAUGCUUUAGCCAUAAAAAAAGUUGAGAGAAUCAAAAACUAGGAUAUCAAUUUUUUUCCCUUUUUUUUUUUUUUUUGUUUGUUUGUUUGUUUGUUUCACCUAUUGUGUGAAAAUUAAUGAACUGCUAUUUAUCAGUUUCACAUCCGACUAUUUUCAGAUGCUUACAAAACCAACCACCACUAAUUGCUGUCACAUGCACAUCAAUGUGUCACCAAUCUUUCCUAAAUUUUAGAAUGCAAACAAGGUAGCAUUUACUCUUUCCUCAUAAGUGUGAUAGCAUGUAAAUAUAUUAGAAAGUAAUGUGAGGAAAAGAAUCAUAUAUGUUGAUAUCAAAAAGAUUUAUAUAUAUUUUGUUCAUCCAUAAUGCUUCAGUCUAACAUUUUGUUUCUUUUGUUUUUGUUAUAAUGAAUUGCAAUCCAAAAAAUGGGAAUGAUUUCUCUCGUUCUCGUGUAAUUGUAGGUCGAUCUUUUAAGCCGAUUGAACUCUCAUCACUUGGUAGGAUUAGUAGGCUACUGCGCGGAUCAAAACCACCGUCUGCUCGUGUUUGAGUUCAUGAGCAACGGAAGCCUGCAACAACAUCUGCACACCAGCUCAAAGGAGCAAAACUACCGACCGCUCGACUGGCGAACCAGGCUGCGAAUAGCAUUAGAUUGCGCUCGAGGACUCGAAUUCCUACAUGAGCAAACGGCCCCCGCAGUUAUCCAUAGGGACUUCAAAUGCAGUAAUAUCUUGUUAGACCAUAACUACCGAGCCAAAAUCUCCGAUUUCGGUAUGGCCAAGAUUGGGUCAGAUAAACUCAAUGGCCAAGUCCUCACAAGGGUACUUGGGACUACCGGAUAUCUCGCGCCAGAGUAAGAUCUGCGUACCGAUCGAUUGCUUCAUCUUUUACACAAAUAUAUAUAUGUUACCUUUUGAUAAAGUAUGGGGGGUGUGCGCGCGCGCGUGUAUAUAGGUAUGCAUCGACGGGGAGAUUGACGACAAAGUCAGAUGUUUAUAGCUACGGAGUGGUGCUUCUCGAGCUGCUGACCGGUCGGUCACCGGUUGAGACAAGGCGGCCUCCAGGGGAACAUGUUCUAGUCUCAUGGGUUUGUAACUUUUACUUGCUCUAUUUUCACUUGUGAAUAAAAAAAACUAUCAAUAAUUAAGUAAAUCUCAAAACUAUGGUAAACUUAUAAAUAUCUUAGUUCAUGAAAAGAAUCUUACUUCUAUGCUGUAUCUGAGAAUAAUUUUAUCUCAGCCUUGUUGUUGGUAAAGCAAGGUUUAUUUUCUCGUCUAAUAACCUUCAUGUCGACUCACUAACCGCGAUAUAUUAGGCCCUUCCGCGACUUACUAACCGUGGGAAAGUUGUGGAAAUGGUGGAUCCUACACUGAAAGGCCAAUUCUCGACGAAAGAUCUAAUUCAGGUUUGUUAAAGGAUUAUUAGGUGCAUUUCGAUCCUACACUUUGUGAUUAAGUUAAAGGAUUAUCGCGAUAAGAUUCGAUGACAUUUUUCGUCAUUUGUUGCGAUAGGUUGCGGCAAUCGCUGCUGUGUGUGUGCAGUCAGAAGCUGACUACCGACCGCUUAUGACCGAUGUCGUCCAGUCUCUAAUCCCUUUGGUUAAGAACAAGGGCGCAUUUUCUUGCCCUACGACUCCUCCCAAGUUUCCGCAGAAUAUGUUAGAGCCAUGAGGUAUGCAAGAAUUGCGCGAAAGAGUGUUGGAAAAAGUUUCUCGCAGAUCGGAGUGCAGGAAACAGGAGUGGUUUUUAUUCAGAGGAACAAUCUAUCUACUUCAAUUUUUUUUUCUUUUUUCUUUUUUUCUUUUUUUCCCUGUGUAAAGCAACUUAUCUUUGUAAUAUGCUAUAUGGGAGGGUGUUGUACAUUGAAUUGAAUGGGCCCUAAUAUGAUGACACCACAUCAUUUGUAGGAACAAUAAAUGUCAAUUAUGUUUGCUACUGGUAAAGUAAAUGCCAUGUGGUCAAGAAAUGGGAUAAAUUUUCUUAUUAUCAUUGUACAUUUAAUCUUCUUUAACAUUAAACAGAAAUUGGAUCAGAACUCAGAAAGGUUCAGUCAGUGAAUGAAAUUCUCCAAUCUCAGUGCUUUCUUUGGGUUGUUUGGAACAUUUGAGUAACAUGAUUUUUCUUUCCCUUUCUUUGCCUUUCGGAACAUUAAUUAGUAUGAUUUCAUACUAUUUCAUACUAUUUUAACUGGUGGUAUAUUAAGAAAAUUAAACAUCUAUACACUCUUGUUAAUCCCUAUAAUUUUGUCCACAUGGCGGGAUUAUCUUAACUAUUGACUGUAGAGCACACCUCCUCUAUUACUCAUAUCUUUUCCUUUAAUCUGCCCUCUUUUAAAGAUCAUAUCAUUUUUCCUUCUGUUCUUUCAGUAGAAAAGAAUUAUCAGAGACUUUGUCGUUUGCAAUUUCGUUUCUUCGGUUUCCUUGCUCCUCUUUUAAAUUCCUCAUAAAAUGAAACUUGAAAUCCCACUUCUUUUUUAUAUUGCAACGAUUUCUCAUCUCUUUUGAAAUAAUAAAUUAGACUGAAAUUCAAUUCUGCUCAACAUAUAUUCCAGAUAGAAAUGUUCAAUUCUGAUUGAAUAGAAUUAAAUUCUUCUGAAGUGAAAUCAAUUAUAUUCCAUGUAUAUUUUAACUCCAAGCAAGAGUACAAAGGGAUCAAAAAGAUUGUGACUUAACUUUUAUAUAUAUAUAUAUAUAUAUAUAGAGAGAGAGAGAGAGAGAGAGAGAGAGAGUAUGCGAGGCUACUAUGCUUUUGGAAGUACGGAGCCUUUCAGGUCGUUUUCGAUGUUGCGACUUUUGAAUCGUCGAUCGGCUCCGUUAAACUUGAUCUAAAGUAUUUGAAAUACUUAGAAAAUAAAUUAUGCGAUUUUUCGAUAUUAUUUGCCUAGUGAACAGGGACUCAAAAUCAACGACUGAAAAUAAAAAUCUUACAAAACAUAAUAAUAUGACAUUAAAAUGUUAGAUCAAAGANUGAUGUCAAAAAAUUAUAAAAUUUGGUUUCUAGAUAGUUCCAAUAGGGUAGAUUAUACCUAACGGAGCCGAUCGUCAAAUCGAAUGUCCUAUCAUCGAAAACAACUUACAAACACGGAGGUCCUGGUACUUUCGAAAGUAUAGUAGAGGCACUCUAUAUAUAUAUAUAUAUAUAUAUAUAUAUAUAUAUAGAGUUGAGCUAGAAUACUCUCAAAAGCACCAAGAGGUUGGUGCUUUUGAAUUUUUAACCCUUGGAUGGAGAGAUGUGAGAUUGAGAUGAUGGUGGUAGGUAGUGGUAGGUAGAAUAGCAUUUGAUCCAAGGGUUAUUAGUAAUCUAGGAGUAGAUCUAAUGGCUAAAAACUUAAUAGCACCAAGGGGAUGAUACUUCUAAAAAUAUUCUAGCUAUAUGUAUAUAUACUUUGAUCUUCUUAGUGCAUACGAAAGGGGUUAUAAAAAAAAAUUUUAAAAAAAAAAAAGUACUUUUUAACUCAGCUAAAGAUCCUUAAUAAUAAAGUGAAUAUUGUAGAAGAAUUGUAACUUUGGAUUUUUUGGGUGGAAGAAGCUCCAAGAACAGAAUUAUUACUAUUCACAAUAUAAUACAGCCUCGGUUAGUCUACAAAGGAAAUAAUCAAGAGACACAAUGGUAAUUUAGUUUCCUAUUCUAUAGCAGAGUUAUAAGAAAAUAUGCUAAUAGCUUCCUUUAUGUUAUAGCUCUAAUUAUAGACAUCUAUGCUGGUCUAAUGAAGGAGAGCAAGUCUUGGAGUUAAUUGAUCCUGGAGAGUGAUUGUCGCCUAUACGCCCCCGCAAGAUAGGUGUACCGUUGUGAACACCUAUCUUGGAAUGAAGAAGAGAAAAUUGCUGUCGUGCGAGAGGUUUUGUUAGCACGUAAGCAAGUUGCUCAUGAGUCGAUACAUGAGAUACAUUUAACGGUCCUAUGCUUACUUUAUCGCAAACGAAGUGGUAGCUAAUAGCUAUAUAUUUCAUCUUGCAGUGAAAGACCGGAUUAGCACAUACAUAUGUUGCACCAAUAUUGUCACAGUAAAUGGUCGGACUUUGGGAUAGUGAUACACCUAGCUCAUGCAGAAGCGACUGAAUCCAAGCCAACUCAAAUGCCGUAUCCGCAAUGGCACGAUAUUCAGCCUUAGUAGAAGAGCGGGCGACAAAUCAUUGCUUUCAUGAGCUCCAUGAAAUACGAUUAGUGCCAAGGAAUACAAUGUACGCAGAGGUGGAUGUACGAUCAUCUUUAUCAUCAGCCCAGUCAGCAUUAGAGAAAGCGUGUAGUAGUAAAUUAGAGUAGCACUUCAAGUGCAGUCCAUAAUUGAUAGUGCCGUUGAGAUAUCGAAGAAUUCGUUUGACUGCAAUCCACUGAAGCGCCGACAGUUGAUGCAUGAAUUGAGAUAAUUUGUUUACGGUAAAAGCUAUGUCCGGCCUUGUGAUAGAGAGAUAUUGAAGAGCACCAACAACUUUCCGAUACUGAGUAGCAUUUGUUGGAGGAAAGCCAUCAUGACGAGAUAGCGAGCAACUAGUCAGCAAUGGAUUAACAACAUCUUUCGCACCAAGCAUUUUAGUUCCAUCAAGGAUAUCACUUAUGUAUUUAUGUUGCGUGAGAAAUAAGUCCUGCAUUGUUGGUAUAACUUCAACCCCUAGGAAGUAAUGAAGAUCACCAAGAUCAUUAAGAGAAAACCUGCCAGAAAGAGCUUGGACAAAACUAUGUAGAAAUGAUUUAUCAUUUUCUAUAAGUAUUAGGUCAUCAACAUUAAACUCUAUACUAAAGUUGAAACCAAAUGCCGUUUCUCCAUCAAGCCACGUGGCCUUUUUUUUAUAUGGAUUUUCUCUCUCUCCCUCAUAUGCUCUCCCUCCCUCACAUGGACUCACAUGGGUUAUGUUAAAUGGGCACGUACUAUGCAAAAUUUUGUUUCAUGCACCUUCUGUAUCAUGUUAAACAAUAAUGAUUUUAAAGGCAAGCGGCUAUGUUAAAGGGGCAUAUACUAUGGAACAUUUUGUUCCAUGCACUCUAUAUCAUGUUAAACAAUAAUGAUUUUAAAGACAAGCUCAAUUAAAAUUAACCAGAAAAACGUCAUCUUAAUUUUACAGUUCUAAACCUUUUCUUUGUCGCCGAAAGGUCUACCAACUAAAAUCUUUAUCAGAUUGCUACUAUUUUUCGCCCUCACUUUUGGAGUGUCAAAAUGACACGAAGCGCUCGCCCCCGCCUGCGCCUCCGCGCUCGCAGCGUGGCGCGGGCAGGUGGGCGCGCGGGGCGGGGCGCCGCGUGGCAUCGUAUUUGAUAAUAUAUAUUAUAUAUUUAGUUAUCUUACAUAAUAUGAAUAUUAUAUAUAUCUGUAUGUUUCGUGAUAAAUAAAUAUAAUAAAAGUCAUAUUAUUAGCUCUCAAUGUUACGACCUCCCGCCGCAAAGCGCGGGUCAUUACACUAGUAUACAAGAAAGUAGGCCACUAGUAUUCCAUCAUGUCGAUAGAUGAAAAGAGAACAAUCAGAUUUUGAUUAAGUGAACCCAUAUUCAGUGAGAAAACUACUAAGUGCGUGAUACCAAGCCUGAGGGGCAUGUUUGAGACCAUAAAUUGCUUUCUUAAGUCGAUAGACAUGAGUAGGUGAGGAGCGAUCAACAAAUCCUGGCGAUUGUUGCAUAUAAACAACUUCAGUGAGAGAUCCAUGUAAGAAGCCAUUGUUCACAUCCAGCUGAUGAAGAGAUCAUCUUUGAGUUAAAGCAAGGCAAAGAAUAGUUCGUAUGAUGGUAGUAUGUUUAACGACCGGGCUAAACGUCUCAUGAUAGUCUGGUCCAGGUCUCUGAUGGAAGCCUUUGGCGAUGAGUCAUGCUUUAUAGCGUGCAACACUACAAUUGGGAUGCCUUUUGAUACGAAAUACCCAUUUGCAACCAACAACAUUGUAAUGAGGUUGAGGAGCAACCAACUCCUAAGUGCCAUUACGAAGAAAGGCAGUAAAUUCUUCAGGCAUAGCAGUUCGCAAGUUUGGAUCUUGGAUAGCUUGAGAUACACAGUGUAACGACUUAGCCCACUAGCAAUAAUAACUCGUUGGGCCGGUUGGGCCCAAAAUGUUUAAGCUCAGUUAUUAUUACUAGUAUGGGAUUAUUGGAGUGUGACAAACUCUCCCCGUUAAGACCCUGACGUCCUCGUCAGUCCAAUCACACACACAGCCCAAGAUUACCAGGCAAUGUGAGACUCGUCUCGCUAGUCUUGUCAUCCAGACCCUGGCAUAGUCGGUCGUCUUGUCAUUCAGACUCCGACAUAGCCUAUCACCUUGUCUUUCAGACUCUGGCUCAGCCGAAACUUGUCAUACAUUUCCGAUUGAUGAACUAGCUCUGAUACCAAAUGUAACGACCCAGCCUACUAGCAAUAAUAAUUCGUUGGGCCCAACCAUUGGCCCAAAAUACUUAAGCCUAGUUAUUAUUACUAGUGUCUAAGUCUCUUAUAUACCCAAUCACAACCCCAUUCAUAUCCGAUGUAGAAUUAUUGGGGUGUGACACACAGGUUGGUUCCAUAAUAGUGGGAAUAGGAUGCUUCUAUGUAGUAUGGAGCUGUUUAGGCUUAAAAAUAUUAUUUUGGGAUCUAGUGGUCAUAGGAUGUGUGCGUUGGAAGGGGAAGUGACAACAAUAGGUGCCGCAGUUUCAAUCAAUCAACAGCUUUGUGAGGUACAUCCAAAAUUGCAGGCAAGCUACUGUUACUUCCAAGUAAUUAACUAGCGCCUCACUUUGGUACUGCUCCCUUUUUCUUGUUUCUUAAACUCAAAUUCUAUGUGAUUAAAUGAAACACCAGAUGAGAACAUACACACCUGGGAUUGUGUUUGGAAAUAAAGGAACAAGAUACUACUAUAUAGCAACUUUUUAUUUUCUCCUUUGCGUUAUGUAGGAAAAAAACAAAACAAAACAAAACAAAACAAAACAAACAAACAAACACCACUCUGCAUAUUGCCGGGGCAAGUUGAAAUCUAACUGAUAAUAGCAAGGAUGGAGAAAUCUGUCCACUGGUGCAUUCAAUCACUAUAGAAUUUUGAGUUUGGAAAAAGAAUAAAAUAAAGGAACGAAGGGGUACCAACCGUAUUUUGAGCACUACAACUGCAUUGAUACAUGAGCACUGCAACUACACUGAAACAGCAAGAGAGCACCAUUGUGUUCUACUCUUCAAUAGAGCGGAGGAAAAACAAAACAUUAACUUUCUGGCCAGAUUUCGUUGCACAGCUAACAAAUGAAGCACGUCAUUAGAAAGUGUUUUUCCAAGAUAUUUACUGUAACAAGUUUUCCUUAGAGAAGAAGCUAGCUUCGACUAUCAUAAAUGCUAAAUCUUUUGCAAACAACUUCACAAUUGAACAAUCCAAAUUGAUCUACAAUACUAAGACAAUAUAAUAAAUUAAGAGUCAAAUACUUGGGUGCCUCUAAUCCAAACAUCAAACCAUCACAAAUAUGCAGAGUAGCACCGAUAAAUAAAUAAAUAAACAAAUAACAUAUAUAUAUAGAUAUAUAUAUAUAUAUAUAUAUAGAGAGAGAGAGAGAGAGAGAGAGAGAGACUAAUAACAUCACACACUUGGUGCUACCAACUUUUCCACCAUUAAAUCUAAUAUCUUUCAUCAUUCCUACCCAGUAGAUCAAUAUUGUUCCACCAACUACCAUUAAACCCUAAGAGGAUCACUAUUAUCCCAACCCCACAAUCCUUCAUCCAAGGACUACUAAUUUAAAAGUUAAAAAGCCCAAAUAUUUCUAAAAGAAUUUUAGCUCAAUUCAUAUAGAACUAGUGUAGUAAUCCGUGCGAUGCGACGGACAAAAAAUUAGAAAAAAAUUAAAAAUAUUAAUGAUAUAUCUUUUCAUAAAUUUUUAAAUAAUUUAUAUUUGAUUGAUUAUAAAUUAUUCAAACGUGUAGGGAAUCUGUAUGUAUGAGUCAACCGUUUAAAAAUAAAUGAAGACAUUACAUGUUUGCUAUAUAUACUUUAUCAUCGUAUUUUAUAUCAAUAUUAAUAAUAAAUUAAUACAAAUAUCAGUUAAUUUUUUUUCUAAAAAAAGUCCAGUCCUUAAUGAGAAUUUCUAUAAAAACAAGAGAAAACUUCAAAAAACCCCCUAUGGUUUCGCACGUUUUCAUUUUAGUACCCUGUGGUUAAAAGUGUAUAAAGUUAGUACCCCGUGGUUUUGCACUUUCUCACUUUAGUACCAUGUGGUUUAAAGUGUAUCAAGUUAGUACUCUGUGAUUUUAUUUUUGUAUCAAGUUAGUACCCUAUGGUUUUAUUUUUGUAUCAAGUUAGUAUCGUGGUUUUAUUUUUGUAUCAAGUUAGUAUUCUGUGAUUUUUAAACCACAGGGGUACUAAAGUGAGAAAGUGCGAAACCACAGGGUACUAACUUCAUACACUUUAAACCACAGGGUACUAAAGUGAGAAAGUGCAAAACCACAGGGUACUAAUUUAAUAUACUUUAAACCACAGGGUACUAAAGUGAGAAAGAGUGAAACCACAAGGGGAAUAUUUGAAGUUUUCCCAGAAAACAAAGAGAAGAGAAAAAGAGCAUAGAUUUGACCGAGCUCGGCUCAAGCAAGAAAGAGGACACCGGUUCGGUUCAAGCAAGAAAGAGGACACCGGUUCAGUUCAAGCAAAGAAAAAAAAAAUCUGGUUUGGUUCAAGCAACAAAAGAAGAGAACCUGAGCUAGUUCAAGGUGGAGCUCUUAUUCAACAAUUAUUGGUUCAGUUCAGAUAAAUUAAAAGAGAAAUCCGGUUCAAAGAUAGAAAUAUAUAGAGCAAUUGGUUUGGCUCGACCCGGUUCAACAUGACCCGGUUCAACAUUAUUGGUUCGGUUCAGAUAAUUAAAAAAGAAAUCUAGUUCAAAGAUGGAAAUAUAUAGAAUUAUUGAUUCGGUCUAAUGAAGCAAGUUGAUGCGGUUUGGUUCAAGCACAAAUAGAGAAAAAUUAUAUAAUUAUUUGGAGAACUUGAGCCGGUUCAAGGUCGCACCCAACAACCUAGUUUGGUUCAAACAAAGAAAGAGAAAUUGGUAGAGCCCAUAUUUAAUUUAAUAAAGAAAGAGAAUGAUGCCAUGUGGCAAAGUUUAAGAGAAAUAAUGUAUAGGUAAUUAGGCAUAGAUUAGGAUAUAAUACUAUCAGCUUUUGUGCUACCAAAUAGUUUUCAAUGUUGCAACUUCUAAAUCAACGAUCGACUCCGUUCACUUGAUCUACACUAUUGGAAGUAUCUAAAAACAAAAUUUCAUGAUUUUUCCAACAUCAUUUACCCUAUUGAACAAGUACUCUAAAAAUAAUCGGCUGAAAAUAAAAAUUUCAUAAAAAUAAUGAUAAAAGACUUGAAUUUCAGAUAAGAGGUACUGAUCUUAAUCUAGAUAGUGAAAAGAAUUUUCUAUCAAAAUUUCAUUGAAUUUGCAUUGUCCUAUAGCAUGAAACUAAACGCAUAACAUCUGCUGCUAAAAUUGUCAAUGUUGAGACUUCUGAUCAGUAGUCAAAUGAUACCAAAAAAUAUAAAAUUUGGUUUCUAAAUACUUCUAAUAGCAUAAAUCAAAUCUAUUGGACGCGAUCAUCGAUUCAAAAACCGCACCACUAAAAACAACUCAGUGGCAUGGAGGCCGCCGUGCUACCUAUAGUAUUCAACCCUCAUUUUAUAUAUAUACAUAUAUACAUAUACAUAUACAUACACAUACCCGCACCCGCACACGCGCGUGCGCGCGCGCACACACGAGCACGAUCGUCUUCAUACUAAUAAGCCGUUUUCGAGGAUAAAACUUCCGAAUCGACGAUCUAUUCUGGUAAACAUAAUUUAAAGCAUUUAAAUAUUUUAGAGACCGAAUUUUUUAAUAUUUUUAUAUCAUAUACCUUGCAACCAAAAGGCCUCAAAUUGACAUUUUUAAUGGCUAUUAAGGGGCGUUUCCUAGUUAAUGGUGUAAGAAUUGGCAUCGGCUGAAGUUUUUAAAUAAAAUUCUAUUUACUCUAUAUAUCAAGAUCAAUAACUCUGAUCUCGAAUUUACCCACUUGAUGCACAAGCAAAAAGUUUUCUGAAUUAAAUGAUAUCAUCUACAUAAACAGUCCAAGAUCGUAUUCAUACUCAUAAGCCGUUUUCAAGGAUAAAGCUUCCAAAUCAACGAUCUAUGCUGGUAAACAUAAUUUAGAACAUUCAAACAUUUUAGAGACCGAAUUUUAUAAUUUUUUUAUAUCAUAUACCUUGCGAUCAAAAGGCAUCAAAAUUGACAUUUUUAACGGCUGUUAAGGGGCUUUUCCUAGUUAACAGUGAAAGAAUUGGAAUUGGCUGUUAAGGGGCGAUUUAAAUUUAGAUAACAUAACAUAACUUCUGCUAGUCAUGAAGUGUUGAAUCUCAUAUAGAAGAUUUGUUGAUAUAGUGUAUUCAUCCAACAAUCUCUCCCUUUUUAACUGGUUCAUUGCAAUUAAACAAACCUACUGACCAACAACACUAGCGAUCACAAGCUAAAUGAACACAAUCUUCUAAAAAGGCAAAAAAGGAAACAAAAAGAAAAUGGUAUGAAAGUUCAAGCAAACCAACCCAACCCUGGAAGUAUGCUUUCACAAUCAAACUAAUCACUGUCUACAAUAUAGGGCAAUUUGAUGGAACAAAGCAUCGGAGAGUGCGUCGAAAAAUGAGAAAGGUAGUGACACACAAUAACUUAACCUCCACGAGCUUCUCUCCGGGUGGCAUCAUGGAGGAUAUCUAUAUCUACUCCAUCAGGAGGAAGCUGAACAUACCUCACCACAGAUCCCCGAAUAAAGCAGUUCCUCACUGAUAACUGCAACAAAAUUUAUCCAAGGAAAACAAAUGUCAUGUUUUCGGACCUGAUCUUUCAAGCUGACUUUUAAAACACUAAACGGAUGAUCAGUAAAUGAAUGUCCUAAUGUUAGAAUAACACUGUGUGAACUCUAAAGCAAUACGACCAAACUUGAGUUACGUCACACCAAAAUGCAAUGAAAUAAUAACGCGGCAGGUAAAAAGUGUGGUGCAGAGAACAUGAUUGCAAUAAAAGCCAGAAAUAGCAAAUGUUGUCUAAGUAGUUCGAUAUCUUCGGCACAGAACCAUAUGCAUAAGGAUGUUGUAACUAAAUGCAUAUAUGCGCUUACAUUCACAGAUGAUGUGAAGAAUCAACUCAAAACAUUUUAUCAGCGGAUGUAGCCAGAGGAAGGACCUCGUAAUUAAAUGCAUAUAUAAACUUACAUUCACAGAUGAUGUGAAGAACUAACUCAAAAAAUUUUAUCAGCGGAUGCAGCCAGAGGAACCAAGCAAAUAUUCAGCAACGAAUAUCAUGGUGAUUCUAGUAACUAAAAGCAACUCUACAUUAGAUGAUCUGAGAUUCCAACUUUAUUGCAAGAUAGUAGCUUAAACAGAUUCCUUUCAGGCUCUUUUAGAAUAAUUACAAUAAAUCCACAAAAUUAGUUCAAGUGGAAAUUCUGGUUCCUAUGAAACUUGAAAAAUCUGAUCUAAGAGUUCAAUGAAACAAAGAAAAGAAACCCUAAGGACUCAAAAGAGAGAACUCUUAGACAUUUUUGUACGACCGUAAACCCAGUACAAUUAUCACUAGGAGACAUCCUAAUUAACCUUUCAGCUGGGAAGAAAUUUUCUGUAAACCUAGGUGCAGGAAGUUCCCGCUCCCUACUUACAGGGCUUGUUCUGGCUGUUCACAGGAUCUUCAUAAAAACAAUUAGAGUUCACAUAAAUUACACCUUCUGAAAUAGAUUUCUUCCCAACUUUUUAUAUUCUUUUCUAUGAUAUUACUCAAAAUUUUCUGAAGGCUUUCCAAUCAAUGGAACUUAUAUGCUUCGUAUAAGACCUAGAAAAUAAGCAACAAAGAACUAAAGAAGUAAGACAAAGUUAAAUACAGAGAAAGAGUUGAGAGAGAGAGAGAGAGAGAGAGAUGCCUGCAUCCUGAUGAGCCAAGAGAACCUCCAUGAUGGAAGACCAUAGCUUACUUAGAAACCAUUUAGAUCUCCCUCUCUUCUAACCACUUUCUUAUCAUUUUGAAUCAAAACUGAUCAAAGAAAACAAAUGGGAAGAAGAUGUGAUUGUGCCCCCCACAGCCCUUCCUUUUUCCCCCCUCUCCUUGUUUUCCUUAUCCAACAACUGCUGUGUAUAUAGAGUGUCCCCCGCCCCGUUCCUUUCUCCCCCCUCAGCUCUCCUUUCUAGUUUUCCUUGUCCAACAAGUUUCUUAUAUAAAGAGUGGUUGAACUGACUAGAUGAUUAUAGCCACCCGGCAAGACACAUCAGAUAAAUCAACUAGGCUACACAUUAUUUUAACAUGGAUAUGUUAAAUUUCUUUUUAAAAAACUUACUGAUUUGAGCUUAAGAACAGAGAGAGCUAGCAAUCAAAAAAAAACUCUAACACCUAAAUGCGGCGGAGGGAACUUUUCCCAAUGACUCAUGUCAUAGCACAAAAUUGCACGCGCUUGGUUCACUGCCGAUCGGUUAGCAAAUCAUAAAUUUAAAUUCAAUAGGUAUGACCAAAACUUAUAAUUUUAAAAAUGCAGAUCUUUUGAAUGCCAUAAAGCACGGUUAAUGAAUUACGUUCUAAUUUUUGAGUUCUCUAUGGUUAAGUUUCAGGAGUGCAAUGCAAGGUGCGCUGGGGGCAUGCAGUAACUUCUAUAUUGUAUAAGGUAUAGACUAAAUUGACCAAAGUAGCUCUCUCCUUUGAAUCUCAUGCUGUCUAUACUGAAAACAUCUAUGGACUUUAGGUGCAGACAUGUACCCCAGCCAAAUAUUGCGUGCAUCUGGUGUAGUAUGGACCAGAUUAGAAUAUGGACCAGAUUAGAAAACCACAAGUUCUCAUCCAAUAUAAGCACCUGAUAUGACCGUUAAAAUUUAAGACUUCUGAAUAUCAUCGAACACGUUCGACAAAUUAUAUUCUUCAUUUCAGUCCUCUCGUAAUGUUCAGGAGUUUGAUGCAUGUGCACCUGCAACCUGGUGGUUUUUUUCAAUGUUUUGAAAGGUAAUAUGUGAUAUCCACGCGGUUACAAACCACAUACCGCAUAUGCGAUAUGUAGGUGCAUAUCGCAUAUCUAUAUGCGAUACAACUAUUAAAAUAUUAAAAAAUAUUUAUAGGUCCUAUAUAUAUAUAUAUAUAUAUACAUAUUACAUAAUGUAUAAUAUAUAUUAUAUUAACAUAUGUAUAUAUAUAUGAUAUAUAAUGAUAUACAUCUGUAUAUAUACAUAUAAUAUCAUAUGUAUAUACUAUAUAUAUAAUAUAUACAACUAAUUAUAUAUGUAUAAUAUAUUAUAUAUAUUAUAGAAUUAGGCUGUAAUACUAUUAAUAGUAUUUGGACUUUUUGCUAUUGAUUUUUAACCCUUGAAUGAAAAAUUGCAGAGUUAGGAUGAUAGUGGUCCCCAUAAGGUCUAAAUGAGUCCUCUAGGGUUGAGUGGGUAGUUGUUGAAUAGUAUAAAUCUAAAAGGUGGAAUUGAUUAAAGUAUGAUCUAACAGCUAUAAAAAUCGAUAGCAAAAGAGCCAAACACUAUUAAUAGUAUUCCAGCUCAACUAUAUAUAUAUAUAUAUAUAUAUAUAUAUAUAUAAUUAAGAGAGAAGAGAGAGAGAGAGAGAGAGAAAGAGAGAAGAGAGAGAGUUGAGGCUAGACAUAGACGUAGAACACAACCCCUUGGUGGGGGUUGGUGCUUCUAGGUAGUGUUCUAAACCCUUAGAUCAAACCCUUUGACUAUUAAUAGCCUUUGGAUCAAACACUAUUCCACCUACCACCACCUACCACCAUCAUCCUACCCCUAACAUCACUCAUCCAAGGAAUACAAACCCAAAGCACCAACCCGUUGUGCUUUUCGGAGUAUCUAGCUCAAUAAUAUAUAUAUAUAUAUAUUAUAUAAUAUAUAUAUAUAUAUAUAUAGAGAGAGAAGAGAGAGAGAGAGAGAGAGAGUUGAGCUAGAAUGCUAUCGAUAGCAAAACGACUCCGGUUGCACCCAUAUUGUUUUCGAUGAUGGAGCCUUAAAUCGACGAUGCAGCACUGUUGAAUAUGAUCAUCCAAACUUGAAACUAUCUAGAACCAAAUUUAAAUCUUUCGACAUCAUUGACCUAAUGAUUAAAGGGUUUCAAAAUUUAAAAUUUCAAUGGUAAAUAUAAGCGUUUUCUCAUUAACGGUGUAAAGGCUAUUCAAUCAAUUGAAUUUUGGUCAGAAAAUUCUUUAACGACUAUUUAGAACAAGAUCUAUACUCUCGAAUCUUGAUUACAAAUUCCUAUCAUCACUUUUAUAGAGAUAUUCAUUUUCAGCCGUCCUCAAUUUACGUCCACUUGAGAGACGAAAGAGAACAAUAUGGAAAAAGCAUGAAAUUUGAUUUCUAGAUACUUCAAGUGUAUAGAUCAUGUUCAAUGGCGCCGAUCACCGAUUUGAAGACUUCAUCAUCAAAAACAAUGAGUGGCAACGGAGCCCGUUUGCUACAGAUAGUAUUCCAGCUCACUACUAUAUAUAUAUAUAAAGCAAGCUACUGUGGCGCUAUUAGGAGCACAGGCAGCCCUUGUGCUUUUAAACUCUAAUUGGAUGAGAGAGAGAAGUGAAAUUGAGAAAUUGGGUGUCUCAAUUUCUAUUUUUUUUUGAAUUUCUCUCAAUUUUUCCUCUCUCUCAUCCGAACACCGAUCUAAAAUUGAUAAUGGUUAGAAGUAAGGAACACAAGGUUGUUGUGCUCCUAAUAGCACAGUAGCUACCUAUAUAUAUAUAUAUAUAUAUAUAUAUAUAUAUAUAAUAUAUAUAUAUAUAUUAAUAAUUAUAAUAUAUAUAUAUACACUUCCUAACAAAGCAAACUAACUAAAGUAACAAUUCAAAAUUCACAACUUGAAAUAAUUAACAUCAAGUAACGGACUUUGUAUGAAUACAUGUACAACUAAACUAAUAAUUAGCAAUUCUCUUAAUUAUUUAAUAUAGAAGUAAAUAGAAUUUUGAUGCAAAAUUAUAAAAACUGUCAAACAAAAAUCAAUGUUCUAAAAUGUAGUAUAAUAAAUUUUACAAAAAAAUAAUAAUUUUUUCAAUAGACUGUUAUUCACAUCAAUCGACAGGCCAACACUUAAGAAAACAAAUAUAGUAUAGGGGCAAUUGCUUAUAUACCCCUAAAAAAUUUCCGACUUUCCGAUUUACCUCUCUUAGAAGGCUAAUAUUGAAAAUACCCUUUCUACGUUCCAACCUAUUUCUAAUAUACCCCUAGAGUUAAAAUCUGUUAAUUAACUCUGUUAUCUCUGUAAAAUUACUAUUUUGCUCUUUCAAAUAUACUCUUCCACCAUCAUUGACUUUCUUAUUUGCCCUUAAAGUCGGGGGCACAAAAAGUAUUUUGACUUUUGGCCUUUUCCAAUAUACUCCUCUACCGUCACCAACAUUUCUUAUUUGCCCUUAAGUUAAGGGCAAAAUUGGCAUUUUAAUUUUUUUUAACUGUGGUAAAUAUUUAACUCACGUUUAACCCAAGUCAACUUAGCAGGAGAUAACUUGUAAGGAAGUGAAUUCUCGAAAUCUGAGAGUUAGACUUCGAUUAAAAAAUCGACUUCUUGUCGCGUUGGUAUGUCUCGGAAAGUCCGAAAACAUCAUAAAUGCAAAAGGUGCAUUGUUGGAGGUUUUCGAGAGCUAUGGAAUCAAAAAUCUGCAUACUGCAGCUUUUGAGCUCUCGGGAACCGGUCCCUAGUGGGAGAGACCCUAGUGGGAGAGACCAGUCCCCGAACGUGAAGAAUCUCAGAGAUGGGAAAAAUCGGCUAAGUCCCAGAAAACCAGCUCUCGAGAACCGGUCCCUGCGGGGAGAGACCGGUCCCAUCAGGAGGGACCGGUUGCACCGUGCGAGGGCUCCGCUGAGUUGCGGGAGAGCUCUCUGGGACCGGUCCCAUGCUCGAGAGACCGGUCCCCGAAGCCCGAAAUUGCCCAGGUUGGGCUGUGUCAUGAAGACAAAGUUGAGGAAUUUUUAUGCAAUUGUAGCAUGAGUUAGGGGUAUAUGAGAGGGUGAGCUCUCUCUCUUUCUCAUUUCUCUCCCAAACACAAACCUAAGCCUCUCUCUCUCUAAUCUCUCUUCAUCUCUCUCUAGAAGGUGAAGAAGAGAAGGGAUUUGGUGGAGAAACAAGCAAGGAGAGGGAUCUUCAUCUUCUUCUCCUUCCUCUACACCUGGGAGCUAGCUUUUAGAGGUAAGCUUCUAGGCUCAACCAUGGUAAAUUUCUAGGGUUUGGAUUUUAUACUCUAGAAUCGGUUUAGUUGGAACUCUAGCAUGCUUAAUAAGUGUUUAAUGCAUGAGUUUGAGGAUUUAGAGUUUGAUUCUUGCAUGAUUGCAAGUAGAGCUCCAAAAAUGGGAUUUCGUGAUUUGUUAGGUAUUGAUCUAAAUUGAUCGAGUGUAAAUCUAAUUGCUAGGUGUUUAAACGCGUAGGCAAAGACGGUUCGACGAUUCGUCGAGCGGGUGCAAAGUUACGAGCAAAAAGUACCUUCCAAGCUUCGUUUCCGCCUGGGAGGCCGAGACGACGUCAUAAAGUCGCCGAACUUCAUUCCUAGAGUCGUGACAACGCCAGAAGGUGGGUGGUGUCAUCCCGAAGCAACCGGGCUCCUCUUUAUGUCUUAAUACAUUUUAAAUCUUGCAUCUCUUACAUAUAAGCAUUGUAAGAUAAAUGUGCAUUUCCAUUCCUUAUGCUUUCCUAGAUGAUAUCGUAGUGUGAGUUGAAUGCUUGAUAUAGUGGAUAAAUAAGAAUUGGGUCGAGACAUUGAAUCCUAUAGUGCUGAGAUAAGAGAUGGACUCAAUAGUUGAUAGAGACAUAACGAGUGGCAUGUAGACAACAAUGACAACAGAACGAGUGGCAUUAAACUUAGUGUAAAGUAGCACUCGACAUGUGAACUUAGGGAUAGGCGGAUUCCCUAUUGAUGAGUCAUUGAACAAGAACUUUGUGUAGUUAAACACUUGCAUAUGGACUUUGGGAUAGGUGGAUUCCCGAGUGAUAGUUAGCCCUAGUGGAUAGGGUAUCCUCGAGUUGAGAGGGUUGGAUCAUAUUCGCUGUUUGUUUAGAACUUGUGUUGGUCGCUCCUCACAAGUGUGCGCUCCGGAGUUUAGUCACUUGAGGGAUAGCCUUAUGGGGUCCCUGGGAAAGCCUUAUGGGGUCCCGCAAACGGUCUCAGGUUUGUGAACGAGUUGAGUUUCCUUACCAUGAGAUGCAUGUGAGUCGCAGGCGAACCUCAGGGUUGGCCAAGGAUUGGGUAAGUUAAGAAUUGAUGAACAAUAAGGAACAUUAUUUCUUGGACAUAGUGGCAUGUUAGUAAACCACUUACUAUAUGAUGCAUGCAUACAUUAUUGAUGAUUGGGCAUAGUAGCAUAGUUUUCCUACUAUUGCAUUUACAGCUUUGAUAUCUAUCAACCUAUCUAUCUGCUUGUGCCCAUUUGGACCUAAUGGGGAGAUCGGCGGAGUCGGCGGCCGAACCCGCUGGGAACUAUGGACAAUAGUUCUCACCCCACUUUGUUGCAGGACCGAGUACGAGCGCUCCGGGCGAGGAUCGCGGUAAGGGCUUAGCGCCCUUGCAUAGUGGCUCUCCUACUGCAUUAGAGAUACCUACCUAUAUGAGAGUAGAUGAUGUAUGGGUUGCGAGGUGCAUUUUGGAGAGAUGUGAAUAAACUGUACCUAUUUCUGAAUGAAACGAAAAUGUAAAUUGUAUAAAUGGACAAAUCAUGAUGUAAUAGAUAGAACACUCUUUUCGCACUUGUAUAGAUACUUGUGUUACUUGCUCUUGUUGUUGUGCACUUAUGGUGCUUCUAUGGUCGUUGUUUGGAUCAUGUAUGUAUUGAAUUGUUCCUGGGCGAAUUCUCGUACAUAAUCCCGUGCUUGAGCCUUGGGCGGACAGGGGAGUUGCUGUCCAUUCGGCGUCUGUUCGACGUGCCCGAACCGGACCAAAUAGGUAGCGGUCUCGGGGCGUGACAUAACUGCAUGGGUAUUUUGCAAUAACGGUGGAGCAUAUGAGGGGUAUUUUAGAAAAGAAAAAAAAUAGGGGUAAAUUGAAUAUUUUCAAAUGUAUGAGGGGUAUAUAGGCAAUUAUCCCUAUAGUAUAUAGCAUCCAACAACUAUAAAAGUAUAUAUAUAUAUAUAUAUAUAUAUAUAUAUAUAUAUAUAUAUAUUAAGUAUAUAUAUAUUAUGAUAACAUCCAACAACUAUAAAAUUAUUUACCAAUAUUUAUAAACAUAAUUAUGAGAUAUGUAAGGGAUAACACCUACUAAAAUGAGAAGAGAGAUAGUUAGGUUAUACUUGAAUAAAGAUAAUUGUAUUUAUAUGCAUUAUUAUUUAUUAAACUUGUACAAAAAUAGUCAUAUAUAUGUAUAAUUACUAAUUACUAAUCAAAUAAUCCCAUUCAACGCUACAUUUCAAUCCCACCUUAGGGGAAAAAGAAAAAAAAGACACAACCGCAUAUAAGGGUUUCAAGUGCCGCCCGUGCUGUACGGCACGGCGGCGUGCCGUACCGUGCCCCCAAGAAGAGGGCACGGUACAGGGGGUGUCUCGGACUGCCCCCGUCUCGCGGCACGCACAUGCGUGCCGUUCAAGACAAAGCGGCAUGCAGGUGCGUGCCGGCGGCACGUACCGUGCGUGCCGCCCCCUUCUUUUUUUUUUUCUUUUUGGCUUUUUUUCUGGCUUUUUUUUUGGCUUUUUUUUUUCUUUUGUUCUCUGGGGUAUCGAGCCCCUGCCGAGCCACCUAUAUUGUCUUUUUUUUUCACUUUAUUGUCUUUUUUUCAACUUUUUUUUUGCUUUUUGGUGGAUGCCUUUUUUUAACUUCUUAUUUAUCAAUAUAGGAGCAAAUUUUUAAUUGACAUAUCUGAUCCAUACCGCGAGCCCUCCGCUUCCACCACAAACAUCUAUUUUUUCUUCGCAAAAUAUUUUGUCAAAAUUUGUCGCACCGCGAAGCUUUCGGUGAAUCAAGGGAAUAAAAAUCGAUCUCCUAAACAAAUUUUGAUCAUAUACUUUUAAAAAGAAUAAAAGAACAAAAAAAUAUAGAUGUAAUAUCGAGAAUAUAUGACUUUCUCACAAUACUAGCAAAUACUUAUAUCAACAUUGUCAAAUAAAUCUUGUAUCUGCAGAUGACAAUAUGCCAUAUGAUCAAGCGUGACGAUCUAUGUCGAAUUAAGCAGUCAUCUCUAUGUAAAUAUGUAAAUUUAAAUAAUUAUUGUACUUGUGAAUUUUAUUAUUGUAUUUUGAUUUCUAUUCUACAUCAGGUAUAGUUGUAUUUUACUUACAAAAAGCUUACAUGAAUAUUAAUUGAUGAGUAUAGUAAGGUAUACAUAGUAAAUAUUCAUAAUUAUUUAUUUAAAUCUUUCAAAAUAACAUUAUAAGAGUUUAUUGGAACCAAAAAAACUGAAAUAAGUCCGUGCCAAAGCGUGCCAGUCGAAGGGCAUGCAUAUCUAUCGGUACGCAAGCGUGCCACGUGUCGGCACGCAAGCAUGCCUGUGCCGUGCCGUGCCGUGCCGUGCCAAGGACAUAACGGCACGCCCCCGUGCCACGGCACUUUAAACCUUGCCACAUAUGCAGCCGCAUAUGUGGCCGCCUACCGCAUAUGUGGUCCGAUCACAUAUUGCGCUGCUUACAUAUGCAAUGCGGUUGAUGGUUCGAGCAGCAUCUACAGCCACAUAGGCCACUUUUUGGAACAUUGGGUUCCUUUUCUUUUGUGGACAAAAGCACCUGGUGCACCUAGUGUAUAGACUGGAAAAACAAAACAACCUUCUCCUGUGUUCCAAUCUAAAAGAUGUUCUAUAACUUAUGUUCUUUUUAUAUGAAGACCUUUUGAAUGUCAUAGAACACAUUCAACAAGUUAAAUUCUGAUUUUUAUUCUCUAUGACUGGGUUUUAGGAGUGUAAUCCACAAUACACGGGUGCACACAGCAAUUUGUAAAAAUUAUGAGGUAUAGACUAAACUGACAAACAUAGCUAUCUUGUUUGCAACCCAACCCUGUCAAGUGUCAAUAUUGAAAAAUUUCAUGGACUCGAUACAUGUCCUAGCCAAAUAUUGCAAGCACCGUCAUGAAGAAUUAGGUGGGGAAGAAAAUUAUGAGUCCUGAUCCAACAGAUGGAUAUUUUCUUGGGAUCGGCAUCAACACCGUUGUGAACUUUUCCCUAUUCUUGCCGUAGUGGUGGUAUUUUGGAUUGUUGGAAGAUGAACGAGGGAAGAAGAGGCGUAUGUUGAUGAUGCGGCAUGCAACAGAGAAAGCUAUUUUGAUUUGAUAGUCUAUAGGGGGUAACUCUUCUUCUCCGAUAAAAGGCGGCAACAUGCGCAUAACGGUUGCAAGUAGCACGACCCCCUUAUCCUUUUCUUAUUCUCCAAAGAGAUGUAGCAGCAAAGUGGGAGGGGUGGCAACAAGGAGAAGUUCAUAGAUUAGGUUUAUACAAAGAAAAGAGUCCCGCAUCAAAGUGCCAGCUGUAUUCUAUAGUUCCUGCUCUAUCCAAGAUGGGGCUAAUCAUCAGCUCAAAAUGCUUAAGACCAAGUUGCCAUUAUUACAAUUCUUGUCCUUAUAUACCUCUGCAUAGUUAUUUCACUACCCAAUAUGGGACUAUUGAGGUGUAACACCUUUACCUCAUUUAGGUUUUGACAUCCUCGUGAGGCCCACUAACACAAUUUGGCAUUGCCAUACGAUGUGGGAUUCUAAACGCCAUCACCCCCCCCCCCCCCCCUCCCCGACUCUUCGACGGCGUUACCCAAUCAACGGAGGCUUAAACGCCAUAUUUCAAACAUAAAAGCAGUGGAUCAAACACCCCCCACCCCCGGAUGCUCCAAUCCAAGCUCAAAAUCUUCUAGGGUUGAAGUUGGUCCACCACUAAGCUCUACAAGCAAGCUCCAAGCCUUGCCAAGGUGGGAAAGAGAGAAAGGGGUUGAGCUCCAAGCUCCCUCAAACUAGCUCCUCUUCUUCUUCUCCUCCUUCUUCUUCUUCUCCUUCUUCUUCUUCUCUCUCUAGAAGGUGUAGGGUGGUGAGAAAUGAGGAGGGAAGGGAGUGAAAUGGCUAAUAAGCCCAUCUAGAGUAACAAAAUCCAACCAGGCCCCUCAAAAACCCAAUAUUACAUCAGCCCGAACUGGGCAGUUUUCGCCCAGAGGGACCGGUCUCUCCCCAGCUGGGACCGGUCUCUCGCUGCGAACCCGAAAAACCAGCGUUCGGGAACCGGUCUCUCUCUGCGCGGAACCGGUCUCUCACUGCGAGAACGCGUUCGGGAACCGGUCUCGCCCGCCAGGGACCGGUUGCCUCAGGCUGCCUCAAUACUGCUCACUGGGGGAACCGGUCUCUCAUUCCAGGGACCGGUCCCCGAGAGUAAAAACUCUCAGGACUUGUCCAGAAUUCCAGUUUUCGAACGUUUUAGGUCGGAAUACAUUCUACAACCCUCCACCAAGUGUGGAAAAGCUCGAAAUACAACCAAACACUCGAACCUCGCAAUUUGCAAAGGUCCAGUGUGUUACACUCACUCUCUCUCUCUAGGGAUUUUCUCUCUCUAUAAAGAAAUCGCCGAUUUAGCCGUUUUCGUCGCAACGCGGCUUUUUUGCGGAUUGCGAGGGUCGCUGAGCUUUGGUGGACGUGUGAGGGAGUAUUUUGGAGAGCUUUUCGUAGCUCUGGACCAGUAGUUCACUGGUUGGAGGCCUGAGGAGGUAAUCGACUCAAUCUUUCCAUUAUUAAUGUUCUAUUGUUGAUUUGAGUGUUGAUUUUGAGGUUGUUGCUUCCAACUGACUUAAACUGAGAAUUCAGCUAUUAAAGAUGANCCCCCCCGACCUCUUCGACAGCAUCUGGAUAAUAGCCAUGACGUAGGCACCUACUGGUUGUUUCCCACUAAGCAAGUUAUAUAUCGGACAAUCCAAUACCGAAAGCCAAGCCCACAUGAAGAUUAGGGUUUUCGCUCUGGAGUGGAGCCUAAUCUUGGUCAAAAAGCAAGGGAAACAGCAGGAGAAAAACCGAAACGAAGAUGAAGAUGGUAAGAUGGUAAGAUGGUAAGAUUAGGGUUGAAGAGGGAUUUGGUUACCAUGUGGGGGUACUUGUCCUGGUCGACGACGCGGGUGUUCUCGAGCUUGAUGUUGAGAUACUGGUCGACGGAGUGGAGGAUGCCCCGGAUGGCCAGGUCGUUCUUCAGCUCCACCGUCACCUCCUUCCCCACCAGCUCCUUGAAGUACGAGAAGAACAGCUGCCGGCAUCAUCAUCAUCAUCAUCAUCAUCAUCAGAAACAAGGACAAGAAGAUGAAAAGGCAAAGGGAAGACUGAUCGUUCGUACGUACCAUCUCGAUCUUGCGUGCGACAAGCUCCGACGGUGGAGGGCGGGCGACGAGCGUCGGAGCGACUACUUGUUUGCUUUCUCAAACACGAAAAGCAAAAACAAAACCUUCGCUCUCUGCCGCUUCGGCCGGGGUUAAGAUAGAAAGAAAGAUCACUUGAGGGACUUUCAAGUCCGAGCCGGACUCAAGAAUAGAAAAUGCCUAAUUCAAGCAGGUCCAGUCUUUUCAUCUUUUACUACCUUAAUAAAUGUCGGAGAUACCGUCCGUCCGCAGAGCAAGUAGCAAAGAAUUUGAUGGUUAAUAUCCGAGAUCCCAAAUUCGAAUCCUAGUUAAUUCAUAUUUUCAGCUAAGUUUAUUUCUAAAUAAAAUAUGUGAAACAGGUGGGAUGCUAGCUAUCUAUCAAAAAUAAAUAAAUAAAUGUCGGAGAUAGUGAACGAGGCUGAAAAUUAAUUUUAAAGCUAAGGCUCAACUUUAACUUAAAAUUAAUUCAAGUCGAACUUGAACUUUGAAUUAGCCUAACAUCGAGUCCAGCAAGCUCGAGCUCUAAACAAGCCGAUUGAAAUCUCUAAUAUUGUGCAGCAUAUGGUUUAAUUUUUAUACUAUAUUGUCUAGAACUAGAUAUAAAAAUAUGUCUAAUAGUGCAAUAUAAAAAAUAUAUAUAUGAAAUACACUAGUAUAAUAUUAAAAAAAAUAAUUUAUGAGUUAAUAUAUCUAAUUUUGUAACUGCUCACUUCUAUUUGUAUUUUUGUUCUAGCAUUACAUGUCUUAUCUUUUGCAUCAAACUUCAUAUCAUCUAUUUUCAACCAUACUAUCAAAAAAAAAGCACGUAUCUCCACGUUGUGGGCCUUGCAGAGGUGUAUGUGGUCCACCUCAAAUCACGCAUCGAGAUGGCUGUUGACCUCAUGAGUCCCCGAGAUGACGAUGAGUUGCACUCUCGAGACCGGCUCCUAGAAUGUUUCGAUGGCAUCCUUGAGCUUGACUUGCAAUUUAAGCCCUCAGCCACUUGUCUUUUGCCCUUCACUUUUCUUAGGAUUUCUCUUUCCGUCUUUACAAUCUUUGGGCCUUUCUCCACUAUCGAGGUACAAUCCAUAACCUCUUAAAAUGUCUGGAGGUCUACUAUCUGCACCAACCUAUAAAUGACCGUCUAAGGCCCAACUCAAACAUUUGAGCCUUGUCCUCAUCGUCCCUCACCAUAUGAGAAAUGCAAUUCAACAGUCGAGAGAACUUUCUCUCGUACUCUGCUAUUGCCAUGUCCCCCAGCGAAGAUUGUAAGGGUCUCGCUCCAUCUAUCUGUUGACACUUUAUGGGAAGUAUGCCAUGGAAAGUAAUUCCUUGAACCUCUCUAUGUGAUUGCUGUCAAGUCCGUGUUAGGAUCAUCUUGGAUCCUCGCUCACUAUAGACAGUGUAAAGUAUUUAAUAGUUCUCAUUCCUAUUUUGUUGAUGCUUUUGUUUACAGAGCCAUCCACACCGGAAAAGGCUAGGGACUGCAGCAAAGGAGUCGCGUCUAGCUAGACUUAGAUCGCAGUUUCUACUAGGUGGUUAUCUCUCUUUUUGUUUUAGUUGGAGAGAGAGAUGUUGUACCCUAUGUAUAGAGACCGCCACUUUUGUAUUCAGCUUUUAUUUAUGUGAAUUACUUGGUGUACUAUUUUGUGGAUCAUGUUGUUUAGUAUUUUACUUUCCUAUACUUAUCUUUAGUGAGUAGAUUAUGUUUCAUGCUCUAAUAUCAUGUUAGAAGUUGUUCUUUUCCGGUUUUAUUAUAUCUUGAUGAUGUAGACGCCUUGUAACACACUGGACCUUUGCAAAUUGCGAGGUUCGAGUGUUUUAUCUGUGUUUUGAGCUUUUUCAGAUAUUCUGGAGGGUCGUAGACAGUGUUCCGACCCAUGGCUCGCAUCUCGAGAAUUGAGAUUUAAAACUUAGCACCAAAAUCCAAAAGAUUGGAUUUUUGGGUCUGCUCUCGGGUUGCCUCAGCAGGGCUGUGUACCGGUCCAGUCUUGAUGGUUGUACCGAUACAGAAAGUGUACCGGUACACCUUGAUGGUUGUACCGGUACAAAUGUGGUGAAUGGCCAACCCGAGGCUCGGAUUUGGUGUCUCGCAGGAUGUAAUACACUGAACUUUUGCCAAUUGCAGAGUUCGAGUGUGUGGAAGGCAAAGUGGAACUAUCCUAUAUAUUCUAAAAGGCUUGGACAAGUUUUUGGACAAGUUAGAGGGUGAUUGGAAAGCUAAAAGCAAGAAAGUGCAUUGAUCUGGCGAAAUCAAUGUUUUCCUGCUUGCUGUACCGGUACAGCCAUCACCUUGUACCGGUACAGACUGGCAGAAAAGUGGCAGCAAGGGUCUUUUGGUCAUUUCACAUUCUAAUACUUAUCUACCUGACCCAGCUCGACUUCUGGAGCACCUUGGAAGGUAGUNGCAAGCUGGACUACCUUGAGUAGGUCCCUGUGAAUGAAAGGAAAGUGCUAAAGGGAAUUGGACAGUAAUGAAUGAUUACCCGUUACAGUGUAUAGUAGUUACUUACACAUUUAUGCAUAUGUUCAUGCUUAUCAUAGUUGCUAUGCUUCUAUUAUUCAGUUGACUCAUUACUGUUGAAACUAUGAUUACAUGUUGCUUACAUGCUCAUUACCUGUUAGCAUUGCAUAAUUAUUUAUCAUGCAUUUACUGUUUUCGCUUUCAUUUAGUACAUCGUGAGCCUAGUGGUGUAAUUCGCCGAGCUGGCGGCUUACCCACUGGGAACUAUUGUUAAUAGUUCUCACGCCCUUUUUAUGGUUGUUUUUACAGAGCCAUCUACAGGCGAGGCUAGGGAUCGUGGCAAGGGAGUCGCGUCUAGCUAGACAUUGCUAGGGGCAUGCUAGUCGAUCACCUUGCUACUCGGGCUACGGCCGAGGGUGAUGUCCCUAUGUAUAGAGAGACUACCAUUGUACCUAUUUUUGUAUACCCCGUGAUGUAUAUUUACUGUUGAACCAGAUGUUUUGGUUGUGAUACUUCUUCCUGUGGUUGAGAUUUUUGGAUUGUAUACUCUUUGUUCUUUUACUAAUAGUAUAUCGACUUGUACAUUGCUCUGAUAUCAGGAUAGGACUUUCUUUGUUUUACUUACUAUCGACUUGCUUUCUUCGUAGAUGCCUUAUAUACUGCAGGUGUAUGGCGGGUCUGUGCACGUACCGGAUAUGCUUCCGCUGGUACCCGGGCGUGACACAGGAUUUGUACCGGUGCACUUUUUCGUGUACCGGUACACAAUACAGUGCGAGCUGUUUUUGUAGAGGGGUGUAUUUGCAAUUAUUGCUAACUCUAUAUAACCUACCCCAGCCCCCUUUGAGUGCCCUUUUGAGUCCUAACCAGUGAAGAAUUAGGGUAAGGCUUCCUCCACUUGUUUGAUCUCCAGUUUUAAUGGAUUUUUUGCAUGUUUUGAUCUCCUCCUCUUUGUUUUUUCUUGCUUCUUGUUGGGUUCCACCAUGGGAGAAGCUUGGAUUUUGGGAUUGGAGCUUGAUAGAGGAUCAACCUUCAACCCUAGGUCACCUUGAGCUUUGUUUGGAGCUUCCCUUGAGGUUAGUAUCAUGAUUCUUCCGUUAGAUUCUUGAUUUGGAGGAUUUUUGAUGUUGGAACCCUAGAUUUGGAACUUAGGGUUUAUUAAGGGGAUUUUUGAUUAGAGGCUUUUGAAGCCCAAUUGAUCUCAUUAAAACUUUUGUUUAGGUUGGUUUGGAAGGACUCUAACUCCCAUUUGGAGAUCGAGAGAGUUUCCUUCGCAUUCGGUGAGUUUUCUUCACCUUUGCUUGAGUUGCUUAAUGUUUGAGCAAUUAAUUGUUCGUAACGUUCGUGUAUCUCUCUUUUCUAUACCUUUAGGGUGCUAGGAGAGUAGUGGGCAACCUCGUUCGGCGAAACGAAGAGUUGCGAGAGUCACGGUAGGUUUGACUUCAUGAAACAGGGGAGAAAUAUCCCCUGUGUGUUUUAUAUUUGUCGUAUCGUCGAGAUGCAUGCAUAUUCAUACUAGAUAGAAUUUUUAUGAAUUUUAGAAUACUUAAAAUGCAUGCAGUAUGUAUCAUGAAAAUUCAACUCUAUAUAGUAGAGCCUUAUGUGGAUUAUACAUGCAUGUGAGUAGUAUUCUUUCUUGUGGAUUGGAAACAUGUCUCAUAUGAUGAAAAUGACUCGAUUUAUGUAUUCUUUAGCACUAAACUCAUGUUUGGACUUAGUGGAUAAAAGUGCUAUAAAGGGGCACCCGACUUAGUAAACUAUGAAACUGCAACAUAGAGACAUAGUAAUAGGCCAUUUGGACAUCGACUAUAUUUCAUGUUUUAGACAUGAUGACAUAGUGAUAAGCCUUUGAGAUAUUUACUACAUUUCAUAUUUUAGACAUGAUGACUUGAGACUCAAACAGACUUUUACGCUUGCUUGCCAUUGUGCUCAUUCGCACAGCCUUGUGAGGGUCGCUCCCCACAAGCCGGCACUCCGGAGAUAGCCAUCGCGACACAUGCUCGCCCGUGCGGGAUUGGGCGCCGAAAUGGGAUGCCGUGGGAGAGGCUCAUUCUUAGAGUGGGGAUGUUGACUACCACGGGGCCAUUAGGCACGGCGCAAGCCGGACUACCCACGAGUAGGUCCUAUGAGAUUUGGAACAAGUGGAACCAAUUUGUAAAUGAACAAUUUGACAAGUUAGCAAACAUUGACAAUUUACUAGUUACCUGUGGACAUCAUAAUAGUUGCACUUAUGCAUAUUUAUAGUACAGUAGUAUUCUUACUUAUGCAAAUUCAUGCUAAGUGGAGAUAUCGUGUUGUAGCAAACUUUCAUGUUUAUUUGCUUAUUGUUUAUAUUGCUUUACUCGUACUUACCCCUUUUCAGUUUUUGGGCCUAGUGGCGUAUUUCACUGAAAUCAGUAAUUGCCCACUAGAAACUAUUAUUUAAUAGUUCUCACGCCCUCUGUUUUAUGGUUUUCUUUCAGAGCCUUCAGCACCGGUAGAGGCACGGGAUCGCGGCAAAGGGGUCGCAUAGCUAGAUAGCAAGGAUUUACAUUUUGCUUAGGUGAUUUUCUCUCUUUUUGGAUUAUUGUUGUGAGAGAGAGAGGUUUUGUAUCCAUGUAUAGAGACAACCUAUGUACUAUUCUUAGCACUUGUAUUUGGAUUUUCAGUUGUACUACUUUAUAGUUUUUUUUUAGUGGACUUUAGCCUUUCGCUUAUUUCUCUAUUGUAGAUUAUAGUUGUUCUCUGCUCUGAUACUUCUAGAUGUCUUUCUACUAUUACUUUAUUUACCGUUUUAUUGUAGACGCCUUAUACGUUUUAGACAUAUGGCGGGUCUGGGCACGUGCCGGACAGGCUUCCGCUGGGUCCCAGGGCGUGACAGAUUAAUUUGGUAUCAGAGCCUAUGGUUGAGUCUUAAUGGACCUAGCAAAUCUUAGGCCGGUUGGACUAUAGAAAAUAGGCUCGUGAGAGACGAAAUCUAUUUGAUUUGUAAGCGAAAGUAUCAUGAUUGGGUAUUCUUGAUAACUCUAAAAAGUGGAGUUAAAUUGAAGUGUAUAGCUUCUAACUUCGCGGAGGGUUACGUUGGCGGCCGACAACGUAACAUCGGGAGUUAGUAGUGAAGAACACUUUCUUACUUUCACAUGAUUUGGGUAUUAUCUUCUUGAGUGGGGAUUCGAUAACGUGGGUUUACUAACUUGCGCUUUUAUGAUGUUGUAGUGAGAUGCCGAUGACACACUCUCAAUCUGCUGGAGCGGACAAUACGGCACACCUUAAGGAGGUCGAGAUCUUCGCUACCUCCGGAUCCAGCGAGGUCCGUGAGUUGAGGAGCCAGCUUGCAGCCCUCACCGACUUGGUAGUGCAGCAGACAGCGGCGGCUCAGCAGCAGGCUGAUGCGGCAUGCCGUCAGGAGGUGCGGAUAAAGUGGCUCGAGGACCUUCUUCUACAGCAGGCAGCUUCUAGAGAGGCUUCGGUUCCUUCGCCGCCUGCACCUGUUGGGGACGUCGCACCGAGGGCGUCAUCACCCGCACCCGGAUCUUCGCGUGCGGCGCCCGUAGUUGUGCCUCGGGAAGAGGACUUUGUGGCACCACCUGUUUAGGUGCCUCUGGCGGGGAUAGUUUUUCCCGUAAUAGUCGAGGGGGUAGAGCGGGAUCGACUUAUAGAGCGUCUCAAUGAGUUCAGGAGGUGUAGCCCUCGGAUCUUCGACGGCGAGAAGGUCGACCAUUGGAUCGUGGAAAAGUGGUUGAUGCACAUAGAGAAGCUCUUCUGCGACACCUUCGUGGAGGAGAGGAACCGAGUUUGGCUCGCCAUAUACCACUUGGACGGCGAGGCCUACCGUUGGUGGUUGGACAUCCAGGAGAACCCCAACAUUGAUCUUGCGGCCAUUACUUGGAAGAAGUUCAAGGAGCUUCUAUUGGCGCACUACUUUCCGGACAUCGUCAAGAGAAAAAUGGAGCAGGACUUGCGCAACUUGCGCCAGGGAGACCGGACAGUAGCCGAGUUCGAGAGGAAGUUUUCUCGGCUUCUACAUUGCGUGCCUUUCGUCGUGCGGGACGACGAGGACAAGAUCCGCAUCUUCGAGCUAGGAUUGUGACCGUCGAUCUUUCGGUUUGUGCAAUCCUCUAACCUCCAAACCUACCGGGAGGUGGUGAAUCGCGCGCUCAUUGUGAAGAGCGGCGCGACAGAUGUUCAGAAGCGGCGAGAAGGCAUGGACAAGGGUAAGGGCAAAAGGUCCGCGGCUGAGGGUGCAAGUCAGACGCACUUUAGGAGGCCGCCGAAGCACCCUAGGAGCCAGCAGCGUGGGCGCGGCUCGACAGGGCAGCGAGAAGGAUCUGAUUGACGCCGACCUCCCCAGUGCGUGAUCUGUGGUGGUCGUCAUAUUCCACCGCAGUGUCCGCAGCGGGGAGGGAGGUGUUUUUUUGUGUGGCUAGGAGGGCCACUUUCGGACCGAGUGCCCGAGGGGUUCGUCACCGACACCGUCGACUGCAUCGGCACCGGCUCUACCAGCCGCCAGUUAGGGGACUCCAUCGGCACAGUACCAGCCUGAACGGUCACCCGUCCCGCAACAGAGCGAGGGAUCUCGACAGGCCCCGAGUGGGCGCAUGUACGCCGCUCAGACCGAGGAGGCGGCAGCAGCCGAGAAUGUGGUUGCAGGUAUCAUUUUAUUAGAUGGCAUUCGAGUUCGUGCAUUAUUUGAUACCGGUGCAUCACAUUCAUUCAUAGAUCGGCUGUUUGCCGAGUUGCAUGGCAUCUAUUUGGUUUCUUUGUUGCAUCCGGGACAGGUUGUAGUACCCGACUAUAUUUUGGAUAUUUGAGAGUUUUGCCCCAGUUGCCCUAUUCGAGUAGGGGAUUGGAUUAUGCCCGUGGAUUUGCUAGCCUUGUGCAAGCUGGGGGAGUUUGAUGUGGUCCUAGGCAUGGAUUGGUUAACCAAGUACUAUGCCACGAUCGAUUGCAAGAAUCGCACGGUUACUUUUAGAGAACCAGGGCAGACUGAGGUUAUUUUUAGAGGAUGCCAGAGUUCGCUGUUUGCGAUGACGAUCAGCUCGUCUCGAGCUAGGCAGCUGAUCAGCAGAGGUUGUAUAGCCUAUUUGGCUAGUGUUGUUCUGAGGGGCGAUGAUGACACCCCUAGGAUUGAGGAUAUCCCGAUGGUGUGGGAGUUUCAGGAUGUGUUUCCAGCUGAGCUACCAGGUAUGCCACCUGAUAGGGAGAUUGAGUUUGUAGUAGAUCUCGUCCCUAGGACUACCCCAAUCUCAAAGGCGCCCUAUAGGAUGGCACCAACAGAGCUGAAGGAGCUGAGGGUACAGCUGUAGGAUUUGUUGGAUAAAGACUUCAUUCGACCGAGCGUCUUGCCUUAGGGAGCACCAGUCUUGUUCGUCAAGAAGAAGGACGGAUCACUACGCCUAUGUGUGGAUUAUCGUGAAUUUAAUAAAGUUACGAUCAAGAAUAAGUAUCCGUUGCCGAGAAUUGACGACUUAUUUUAUCAGCUUCAAGGAUCGAGUGUGUAUUCCAAGAUCGACUUACAGUUGGGAUACCACCAGUUAAAGAUCAAAUCCGAGGAUGUAUCGAAGACGGCUUUUAGAACACGGUAUGGACAUUAUGAGUUCACAGUUAUGCCGUUCGGGCUUACUAAUGCCCGGCAGCUUUUAUGGAUCUAAUGAACCGUAUUUUUAAGCCCUAUCUAGACAGGUUCGUCGUGGUGUUCAUCGAUGACAUCUUGGUUUAUUCCCGAAGUGAUGCAGAUCAUGAGGAACAUUUGAAGCUUGUACUUCAAAUACUUCGGGAAAAGGAGCUUUAUGCCAAGUUGAAAAAGUGUGAAUUUUGGCUUCAGGAGGUGGCAUUCCUUGAACACUUGAUUUCGGGAUCGGGUAUAGCCGUGGAUCCUAAGAAGAUUGAGGCUAUCAAGGAUUGGCCGAGAUCGACGAGCGUCACGGAGAUACGGAGCUUUCUUGGAUAAGCCAGUUACUACCGGAGAUUUGUUGAGGGGUUCGCUAAGUUAUCUACUCCCCUCACGAGACUCACGCAUAAAGGCAUCAAAUUUAUUUGGAAUGAUACUUGUGAAAGGAGCUUCCAAGAGUUGAAGCAAAGAUUUACGACCUUCCCGAUCCUAACCCUGCCGGUUGCUGGAGCAGAGUAUGUGGUUUUUAGCGAUGCUUCAUUUAAUGGAUUGGGUUGCGUUUUGAUGCAGGAUGGCAAGGUGAUCGCGUAUGCUUCUCGCCAAUUGAAGGAAUAUGAAAGGAAUUAUCCUACACAUGAUUUGGAGUUGGCGGCCGUAGUCUUUGCAUUAAAGCUAUGGCGCUACUAUCUUUAUGGCGAGCAGUGUGAAGUAUACACGGAUCACAAGAGCUUGAAGUAUUUAUUCACUCAGAAGGAGCUGAACUUGAGGCAGCGCAGAUGGUUAGAGCUGCUCAAGGAUUAUGAUCUGACGAUUCUUUACUACCCAAGCAAGGCUAAUCUAGUGGCGGAUGCGCUAAGUUGGAAAUCGACGGAAAACUUAGCGAUGCAUGUUGUUGCUCAACCGCAGUUGAUCGAGCAGAUGAAGCGGUUGGAGUUGGAGGUGGUUACUCCUGACACGCCCUUGAGGUUGAUGACCUUGGUAGUGCAACCUACAUUGUUGAAUAGAAUUAAAGAAAAGUAAGUUUUCGAUGUGGAAUUGCGAAAGAUUGGAGAUAGAAUGGUCAAAUGGUUGCAUCGGCGAUUUCUUUGUGGAUGAUCAAGGGUUGAUGCAUUUUUGCGGAAGGUUAUGUGUACCAGCGGAUUCAGGAAUUAAAAAAGAUAUUCUUUAAGAGGCACACCGGGCACCCUAUGCUAUACAUCCGGGAAGUACCAAGAUGUACAAGGACUUAAAGUUGCUCUACUGGUGGCUCGGGAUGAAAAAGGAUGUUGGCGAGUUUGUAGCUCGUUGUCUAACUUGCUAACAAGUAAAGAGGGGAGCACCGAUUGCCCGCGGAAAAACUUUAGAGUUUGCCAAUUCCCGUGUGGAAAUGGAAGAAGAUCACCAUGGAUUUUGUGAUGGGAUUGCCUCGCUCUCACGCCGGGGAGGAUGCUAUUUGGGUGAUCGUGGAUAGGUUGGCGAAAUCGGUGCACUUCAUACCUAUUUAUACGACUUGGACUGGAGAGAAGCUCGCACAAGUGUACCUUGAUGAAAUUGUGCGACUUCACGGAGUGCCUACCUCGAUUGUAUCUGAUUGAGACAUCCGGUUCGUGUCUCACUUUUGGAGGAGUCUGCAGGACGCCUUAGGCACUCGAUUGGAUUUCAGCACUGCUUUCCACCCUAAGAGUGAUGGGCAGUCGGAGCGCACUAUUCAGACUUUAGAGAAUAUGCUCCGAGCAUGUGUGAUAGACUUCGAGGGAGGAUGGUCGCAGCAUCUACCGAUGGUAGAGUUUGCUUAUAACAAUAGUUAUCAAGCAAGCAUCAAGAUGGCACUCUUCGAAGCACUUUAUGGAUGGAAGUGUAGAUCGCCACUUCAUUGGAGUGAAGUUGGCGAGAGAUUGGCUUUAGGCCCUGAUGUGCUCCACGAAGCUGAGGACAAGGUUCGUAUUGCUCAGAGGAGCGACUUUUGACGGCACAAAGUAGACAGAGGAGCUACGCCGAUCGACGACGGCGAGACUUGGAGUUCCAAGUUGGAGAAAAUAUUUUCUUGAAGGUCUCACCGACUAGAGGGAUCAGGAGAUUCGGGAUUCGGGGUAAGUUGAGCCCCCGAUUUAUUGGACCGUAUGAGAUUUUGGAGCGUGUAGGUCCGGUAACGUAUCGACUUACUCUACCACCGAACCUAUCGGGUGUAUACAACGUCUUUUAUGUAUCGGUCCUUCGGAAGUACAGUCGACCCGGCUCAUGUUUUGGAUGCUACACCUAUAGAGUUGAGGGAUGAUUUGAGUUUUGAGGAGCAACCCGUGAGGAUCUUGACUCGCGAGGUGCGGAAGCUGCGAAAUCGGGAUAUUCCGUAUGUAAAGGUUCUUUGGAGCAACCACGAGGAGUGAGAGGCCACGCGGGACAUGGAGAGCGCCUUGCAGGGGCGCUAUCCCCAUCUCUUUCAGAUAGAGUCUUGAGGUACGUUGCUUUUGAGUUUCGCGGACGAAACUCCUUUUUAGGAGGGGUGAAUGUAACACACUGGACCUUUGCAAAUUGCAAGAUUCGACUGUUUGAUCUGUGUUCCGAGCUUUUCCAGAUAUUCUGGAUGGUCGUAGAUAAUGCUCCGACCCAUGGCUCGCAUCCCGAGAAUUGAGGUUUAAAACUUAGCAUCAAAAUCCAAAAGAUUGGAUUUUUAGGUCUGCUCUCGGGUUGCCUCAGUAGGGCUGUGUACCGGUACAGCCUUGAUGGUUGUACCGGUACAGAAAGUGUACCGGUACACCUUGAUAGUUGUACCGGUACAAAUGUGGUGAAUGACCAACCCGAGGCUCGGAUUUGCUGUCUCGCAGGAUUUGUACCGGUACACUUUUCCGUGUACCGGUACACAACGCAGUGCGAGCUAUUUUUGUGGAGGGGUGUAUUUGCAAUUAUUGCUAACUCUAUAUAACCCACCCCAGCCCUCUUUGAGUGCUCUUUCGAGCCCUAACUAGUGAUGAUUUAGGGUAAGUCUUCCUCCACUUGUUUGAUCUCCAUUUUUGAUAGAUUUUUUGCAUGUUUUGAUCUCCUCCUCUUGUUUUUCCUAGCUUCUUGUUGGGUUCCACCAUGGGAGACGCUUGAAUUUCGGGAUUGGAGCUUGAUAGAGGAUCAACCUUCAACCCUAGGUCACCUUGAGCUUCGUUUGGAGCUUCCCUUGAGGUUAGUAUCAUGAUUCUUCCAUUAGAUUUUUGAUUUGGAGGAUUUUUGAUGUUGGAACCCUAGAUUUGGAACUUAGGGUUUAUUAUGAGGAUUUUUGAUUAGAGACUUUUAAAGCCCAAUUGAUCUCAUUAGAAUCUUUGUUUAGGUUGGUUUGGAUGGACUCUAGCUCCCAUUUGGAGAUCGUGAGAGUUUCCUUCAUAUUCAGUGAGUUUUCUUCACCUUUGCUUGAGUUGCUUAACGUUUGAGCAAUUAAUUGUUCGUAACAUUCGUGUAUCUCUCUUUUCUAUGUCUUUAGGGUACUAGGAGAGUAGUGGGCAACCUCGUUCGGCGAAACGAAGGGUUGCGAGAGUCACGGUGGGUUUGACUUCAUGAAACAGGGGAGAAAUAUCCCCUAUGUGUUUGAUACUUGUCGUAUCGUCGAGAUGCAUGCAUAUUCAUGCUAGGUAGAAUUUUUAUGAAUUUUAGAAUACUUAAAAUGCAUGCGUUAUGUAUCAUGAAAAUUCAACUGUAUAUAGUAGAGCCUUAUGUAGAUUAUAUAUGCAUGUGAGUAGUAUUCUUUCUUGUGGAUUGGAAACAUGUCUCGUAUGAUGAAAAUGACUCGAUUUAUGUAUUCUUGAGCACUAAACUCAUGUUUGGACUUAGUGGACAAAAGUGCCAUAAAGGGGCACCCGACUUAGUAAACUCUGAAACUGCAAUAUAGAGACGUAGUAAUAGGCCAUUUGGGCAUCGACUAUAUUUCAUGUUUUAGACAUGAUGACAUAGUGAUAGGCCUUUGAGAUAUUUGCCACAUUCCAUGUUUUAGACAUGAUGACUUGAGACUCGAGACGGACUUUUACGCUUGCUUGCCAUUGUGUUCAUUCGCACAUGCUUGUGAGGGUCGCUCCCCACAAGCCGGCACUCUGAAGAUAGCCAUCGCGACACAUGCUCGCCCGUGCGGGAUUGGGUUCCGAAAUAGGAUGCCGUGGCGGAGGCUCAUUCCUAGAGUGGGGAUGUUGACUACCACGGGGCCAUUAGGCACGGCGCAAGCCGGACUACCCACGAGUAGAUCCUAUGAGAUUUGGAACAAGUGGAACCAAUUUGUAAAUGAACAAUUUGACAAGUUAGCAAACAUUGACAAUUUACUAGUUACCUGUGGACAUCAUAGUAGUUGCACUUAUGCAUUUUAUGGUACAGUAGCAUUCUUACUUAUGCAAAUUCAUGCUAAGUAGAGAUAUCAUGUUGUAGUAAACUUUCAUGUUUAUUUGCUUAUUGUUCAUAUUGCUUUACUCGUACUUACCCAUUUUCAGCUUUUGGGCCUAGUGCCGCAUUUCACUGAAGUUAAUAAUUGCCCACUGGGAACUAUUAUUUAAUAGUUCUUACGCCCUCUGUUUUAUGGUUUUCUUUCAGAGCCUUCAGCACCGGUGGAGGCACGGGAUCGCGGCAAAGGGGUCGCAUAGCUAGAUAGCAAGGAUUUACAUUUUGUUUAGGUGGUUUUCUCGUAUCCAUGUAUAGAGACCACCUAUGUACUAUUCUUAGCACUUGUAUUUGGAUUUUCAGUUGUACUACUUUAUAGUUUUUUUUUAGUGGACUUUAGCCUUUCGCUUUUUUCUCUAUUGUAGAUUCUAGUUGUUCUCUGCUUUGAUACAUCUAGAUGUCUUUCUACUAUUGCUUUAUUUACCGUUUUAUUGUAGACGCCUUAUACGUUUUAGACGUAUGGCGGGUCUGGGCACGUGCCGGACAGGCUUCCGCUGGGUCCCGAGGCGUGACACGCCUUCUAUGUUCUUAACAUAUGGCGGGUCUGGACACGCACUGGGCAGGCUUUCGCUAGGGCCGGGCCGUGAUAGAGAGAGAGAGAGAAGUGAUCUUGAGGAUGUAUUAAGUUGAACAAAAGAGACCAUGAAGAAAGGCGGGCAGAAUUAGUAACUUCACAAUUGUCAUUUCUUGAAUGAAUCAUUUUUUUUUUUCAUAUCAUUGUUCUUUGGUAUAUACUUAUUUGUUUCUCAAUAUAUGUUUUUUUAGUUAUGUCUUCUCCGACUUUGCCACAUCCUCAUUCAUCUCAACAAUCAACAUCUAUUGUUGGCACUAAUGAACUGUGUGACACUCAAGGGAAAAAUGAAAUAGCUGAUAAUAAUGAUAUGGAUGAGAUUGAAAAUAAACUAGAAAGAAAGAAAUUUGUAAAAAAUUUUCUAAGGUUUGGGAAUCUUUUAAAGAAAGAGAAGUUCUUGAGAAUAAAGUCUUGUUAAAAAAACUCAAAUGCAAAUUUUGUAUAAAGAAGUAUUCAAAAUCAAAGAUGGGCACCACCUCACAACUAACAAGGCAUAUGAAUGAGCGUUUUUACUUGAAAAAUCAGCCUAAAGUUCAAUGUUUAAUCAAUUUUGCACCAAGUGAAGCUCUAAAGAAUUUAGAAUUUUCGCCUUCUACAUUGGCCAUAUUGCAUCUUACGACACUACUUUUAAAAUCAAUGAAUAAUGGUUGAGAUAAUUCUAGUUCAUAAAUAUCCAUUUACGAUGGUUGAGCACACAUGGUUCAAUAUAUUGUGCAAGGUAUUGAAUCCUAAUUUUCGAAAGGUGAUUAGAAACACUAUAAAAAAUGAAUACUUAAAAGUCUAUGAAACUGAAAAAGAGAAAUUGAAAAAAGUACUAAAGAAUGUUAAUAAAAUAUCACUUAUAUGUGUUUGUUGGAUGCCCAAGCAAAACAAUUCGGUAUAUGGCUUUGACUGCUCACUAUAUAGAUUUAGAAUGGCAAUUGUAAAAGCAUGUCAUUAAUUUUAUUGAGCUAGAGCCACCACACACUGGUUUGGUUAUCUCUGAUGCUAUUUAUGAUUGCUUGUUAGAUUGAGGGGAUUCAAAAUAAAGUAUCUACAAUCACCUUAGAUAAUGCUUCAAGCAAUGAUGUAGUAGCUAGAAGUUUAAUAUUGAAUUCCAAAGGAGAAACACAAAGAAGAAACAAGCUUCCACUUCAAGGGUAUAUUCUUUUAUAUUAGAUGUUGUGCACAUGUCUUAAACUAGAUGGUUCUAGGGAUGUCAACGGGUUGGAUUCGGGGCGGAUUUUUGAAUACCCGUACCCGAACCACACUACCAAAUUCGAAACUCGAACCCGAAUCCGGAACAAACCCGAACCCGACCAAAAACCUGAAACCCGAUUCUAAACACAGAAACUCGAACCCGAAAAUAAUAUUUAUCAAAUUUCGAAACAUAUUAUAUAAAAAACUAAAGUUUCAAAAUACAUAUUCAAAUACAAUAUUAAACAUUCAUGCCAUUCAAAAUACACAUUUAAAUACAAUAUUAAACAUUCAUGCCAUAUAAUAACGAUAUCCAAAUAUGAAUAAUACAAACUCAAAUAGUUAAAAACAAUAAUACAAUUUUCAAAUGUCUAAUAUAAAUGCACAAUUUUUAAAUAGACCCAUACUAUGAUAAUAUUAUAUAUUAUAUAUAUAUAUAUAUAUAUAUAUAUAUAUAUAUUAUAUAUAUAUAUAUAUAUAUAUAUAUAUAUAACAGGGUUGCUGUGCUCUCAGAGCACGGAGGCCUCCAUGCUCCUGAGCCGUUUUUGAUGAUGAAAUUUUCGAAUCGACGAUCGGCUCUGUUCGACUUGAUCUUAGCGCAUUUGAAGUUUGUAGAAAAUAAUUUUUACGAUUUUUUGAUAUAUUUACCCUAGUGAUCGAAAGGAUUCAAAAUACUAUAAUUUUUAUGGUUGACAAUUUGCCGUUUUCAAGUUUAACGGCGUUGUAGAAGUAUUCAAAUCAGAUGAAUUUUGAUACAAAAUUCUUAUACUAUCUACAACAAGAUCAAAUAUUUCUGAUCAAAAAUUUUAGUGCUAUAUCACCACUUUUUAUAGAAUUUUUAUUUUCAGCCGCUUAAAAUUAUUGAUUUGAAUCCUUUCGAUUGCUAGGUAAAUGAUAUCAAAAAUCGCAAAAAUUAUUUUCUAAAAACUUCAAAUACGCUAGAUCAAGUUUAACGGAGCCGAUCAUCGAUUCGGAAACUCCAUCAUCGAAAACGGCUUAGGAGCACGGAGGCCUUCAUGCUCCUGAGAGCACAGCAGCCCUGCCUCUCUCUUCUCUCUCUCUCUCUCUCUUCUCUCUCUCUCUCUCUCUCUAUAUAUAUAUACUAUAUAUAAUAUAUAUAUAUAGGGUCCGGCUACUAUAUCUAUCGAUAGCACAGAGGGCUCGUGCUACCAAGUUGUUUUCGAUGAUGCGGCUUCCAAAUCGACGAUCGGCUCCGUUAAACUUGAUCUACACUAUUGAAAGUAUUUGGAAACUAAAUUUCAGAUUUUUUCGAUAUCAUUUGACUAGUGAUCAAAAGAUCUCAAAGUUGAUAAUUUUAUGGGCCGAUGUGGUGUGUUUGAGAGUUUAACGGUGUAAAACAAUCCAAAUCCGAUGAAAAUUUUAUAGAAAAUUCUUUUUACUAUUUAGAGUGAGAUCAGUAUAUCUGAUCUUAAAUUUAAAUCUUUUAUCAUCAUUUUUAUGAGAUUUUUAUUUUCAGCCGUUCAAUUUUAAACUACUUGUUUGAUAGGUAAAUGAUAUCGAAAAAUUAUGAAAUUUAGUUUCUAAAUACUUUUAAUAGUGUAGAUCAAGUCUAACGGAGCCGAUCGUCGAUUUGGAAGCCGCAUCAUCGAAAACAACUUGGUAGCACGGAGUGCUGCGUACUACCGAUAGUAUAGCAGCCUAGCUAUUGGUGCUAUUAGGUUUUCGGCCCUUCGAUGAAGGCAUGUGUGAUUAGGAUGAUAGUAGUCUCCUAAGGUUAAGUAGGUGGGUGGUUGAAUAUAUGAUAUAACAGGUGAAAAUGAUUAAAGGAAUAGAUCUAACGACGGAAAACUUAAUAGCGAGAAGUGCUUGGUGCUAUUAAUAACAUAGUAGCCAGAUUCUCUCUCUCUCUCCCUAUAUAUAUAUAUAUAUAUAUAGGCUGGGGCUACUAUACUUAUAUGAAUAUACAGCCCUUUGUACUCAUAAAUUUUCAGCCGUUCAGAUGAAAAAAUAUGCGGUUAUGAUGAAAGUGGUUACGGUUAGGUUGAUAGUGGGCCCCCUGAGGUUGAGUGGGUGGUUGGUUGAAUAGUAUAAUCUAACGGGUGAAAAUGAUUAAAGGGUAGAUCCAACGGGCAAAAACUUAUGAGUACAAGAGGCUCUAUACUCAUAAAAGUAUAGUAGUCGGACUAUAUAUAUAUAUAGUAGAGCUAUUAUGCUAUUGGAAGCAUGGAGGAUCUGGUGCUUUCGAUUUUUUGGCUCUUAUAUCAACCUCUUUGAUCAUUUCUAUCAUUUGAAUUAAAAUUAUUGUUGUGAGGACUACUCAAUCCUAGGGAGGGCUGUAAUCAUUCUAACCGUACAAUUCUUGAUCUAAUGAUCAAAAAAUCGGAAACAUAAAAUCUUUUAUACUUCCAAUAUAUAUAUAUAGAGAGAGAGUUGAGUUAGAAUACUCUCAGAAGCACAAAGGGGGUAGUACUUUUGAGUUUUUAGCCUUUGGAUUGAGAGAUGUAGGGUUGGGAUGAUGAUGGUAGGUGGUAGGUAGUGGUAGGUGGAAUAGUGUUUGAUUCAAGGGCUAUUAGUAAUCAAGGAGUAGAUCCAAGAGGUAGAAACUUAGAAGCACCAAGAGAUUGAUGCUUCUAAAAGUGCUCUAGCUCAAUUCUAUAUAUGUGUGUGUGUGUGUGUGUGUGUGUGUGUGUGUGUGUGAGGCUACUAUGCUUUUGGAAGCACAGAUCCUUCAGUACUUCCAGGUCAUUUUCGAUGUGUGUGUGUGUGUGUGUGUGUGUGUGUGUGUGAGAGGCUACUAUGCUUUUCGAAGCACAGAGCCUUCCNUGGGUGGUUGGUUGAAUAGUAUAAUCUAAUGGUUAAAAAUGAUCCGAGAAGUAGAUCUAAUGGUAAAAAACUUACAAGCACCAAGUGCUUGGUGCGUUUACAAGCACCAUAGCUGGACUCUACACACACACACACACACACACACACACUCUCAAAGAGGGAGGGAAGAGUGGCCAAUUCAAACUCAAGUGGAGAAGAGGAAAAUAAGCCAAUUCAAACUCAAGUGGCCAAUUGUAUAUAUAUAUAUAUAUAGAAAGUGGAGCUGAAAUACUAUUGAUAGUAUGAGAAUAGAAUUUUCUAUGAACUUUUUGACCACUAGAUACAUAGGGUUUCGUGGGGGUUGGUGGAAUACUGUUUAUAUACUAUUAAUAGUAUACUAGCUCAACCCUCUUUCUCUAUAUGUAUAGUAGGACUACUGUACUAUUAUGAGUAUAGGAUCUUUCGUACUCAUAAGUCAUUUUCGAUGAUAGAUCUUCCGAAUUGAUGAUUCAUACCGUUAAACAUGAUCUAGAGCAUUUGAAAUUUCUAGAAACCAAAUUUCAUAAUUUUUUAAAAUUAUAAUAAAGUCCAUCAAACAUAAAAAUGAAUAGGUCAAAAUCAAACGACUUCCUAAAAUUAGAGGAUUGAAGUUUUCAAUUUAAGAUCGGAGUUAUUGAUCUUUAUCUAGAUAAUGAAUAGAACAUUUUAUCAAAAGUUUAACCAAUUUCGAUUCUUUUAACUGUUAACUAGCAACUAUCUCAUAUCGGCCGUUAAAAGUUAUCAACAUUGAGAUAUUUUGAUCAUAUGCAAAUGAUAUCGAAAAAUUAUAAAAUUUGGUUUCUAGAAGUUUAAAUGCUCUAGAUAAUGUUUAACGGUAUUUAUUGUUCAUUCGAAAGUUCUAUCAUCGAAAACGACUUAUAUUCGAAAGUUCUAUCAUUUUUUAGACCUUUUGAUCGCUUAGUAAAUGAUGUCAAAAAAUUAUAAAUUUGGUUUCUAGGUAGUUCCAAUAGGGUAGAUUAUACUUAAUGGAGCCGAUCGUCGAAUCGGAUGUUCUACCAUCGAAAACAACUUACAAGUACGGAGGUCUCCGUACUUUCAAAAGUACAGGAGACGUACUCUAUAUAUAUAUAUAUAUAAAUAUAUAUAUAUAGAAUUAUGCUACUAUACUAUCAAUAGUACCAAGCCCUUGGUACUAUUGAGUUUUCGGCCGUUGGAUAAAAGGAUGUGUGGUUAGGAUGAUAGUGGUCCCCGGUUAAAUUAAUAGUGGUCCCCUAGGGUUGAGUGAGUGGUUUGUUUAAUAUUAUAAUCUAACGGGUGGAAAUGAUCAAAAGGUAGAUCUAACGGUAGAAAACUCAAUAGUACCAAGGGCUUGAUACUAUCAAUAGUAUAGUAGCCGGACUCUAUAUAUAUAUAUAUAUAUAUAGAGUGAGGCUACUAUGCUUCUGGAAGCUACUAUGCUUCUGGAAGUACGGACUACGGAGCCUUCCGUGCUUUCAGGUCAUUUUUCAUGUUGCGACUUUCGAAUCGUCGAUCGGCUCCGUUAAACUUGAUCUAGAGUAUUUGAAGUAUCUAGAAAAUAAAUUUUGUAAUUUUUCGAUAUCAUUUGCCGAGUGAACUAAGGGGCUCAAAAUCAACGGCUGAAAAUAAAAAUCUUACAAAACGUGAUAAUAUGACAUUAAAAUUUUAGAUCAAAGAUAUUGAUCUUGUUUUAUAUAGUAUAAAGAAUUUUCUAUCAAAAUUUCAUGUGAUUUGGAUAUUUCUACACCAUUAAACUUGCAAACGGCUCACCACGGCCUUUAAAAUUAUUGAUUUUGAGCCCCUUCGAUCACUAGACAAAUGGUAUCGAAAAAUCAUAAAAUUUAUUUUUCAAGUACUUCAAAUACUCUAGAUCAAGUUUAACGGAGCCGAUCGACGAUUUGAAAGUCGCAAUAUCGGAAACGACCUGGAAGCAUGGAAGGCUCCGUGCUUCCAGACCCGUGCUCCGUGCUUCCAGAAGCAUAGUAGCUUCACUCUCUCUCUCUCUCUCUCUCUCUCUCUCUCUAUAUAUAUAUAUAUAUAGGAAAGAAGUUCUUUUCUGGACGAUUAAACUCUCAACAAAUUUGUCCUCUUUUUUGAAGCCAACGCCCCACUUUUUAUAGCCAUCUAAUUUAGCUUUUUUUUUUUUUUUAACUGCUGAAAUUUUCCAUUAAAAUCCCAAUGAACUUUCUGGUUUGAAUCUGAACCUCAAACUUCAGUUUGUUGCUAAUAUCUCUCACUAGUUUGUUGCUCAAUCCUCUCCCAUUUGAAUUUCAAAAUUCAAGUUUCGGUUCAGGUUUAGAAAGAGUUCAGUUUAAGUGUGUUUUUGGUUUGGUUAAGCUCAACUUAUUCAAUUGAAACAUAGGACCGAAAUUUAUCAAAAGAUUUACGUAUUGAAAACUAAUUUGAUGCCCGCAUCACCUUACUGGUGAAAUACACUAUCCCACCAACUCAGAGAAGCCGGGACCUUCUAAGAAAUAAAAAUUUUCAAAGCUUUCAUUUACAGUAAAAAAUUCUCAUACUAAAGAAGUUAAUACCAGAUAACUCAUUCCAACCUCCAAACAAAACCAAAACGAUUACCAGCGAGAGAGCGAUGCAACAACUUGCAAAAUAUGCAUCUGUUUGCAAACCUAUAUUUUGCCAGAGGAAUAUGAAACAACUGAGCUAUCCCCUGUUCCUGAAUGAUCAGAUGUAGGUGUACUUUCCAUACAUUUAUCCACCAACCGCCCUUGUGUUGAUCUUUGUGAAGCCGUGGGCAGCUGGCUGGUGUGAUAAAAAUAUAUGCUCAAUAUUUUGCUUGCAGAUUUGAUGAGAACAGAACUAACAGUCUAUUCUCAAAAUCUUAUCAAAAGGAGGAAAGAAAGAUUGAGACAUGAUGCAGGAUAGUACAAAAGGUUAGAAUACAUUUAAAUGAAAUAGCGCGUCUGUAAAAGAUAAAGAUCAAAUCGCUAACUGCAAUAAUCUCACUUAAGCAUCACCUCGACCUCCGAUAAUCUCACUAACAACCUUAUUUUUUGACCAUCGGUUAACGAGAGUUAAGAGCAAACUAAUGGAGUCGAUAUCACAUCACUACUAGCGAUUUCUCACAUAAGUCGCAUGCAUGUGAAUCUCAACAUACGAAGCUUAAGUAAGAAGUUUAGAUUUCUACAAUAUUUUGGUACAUCUCAAGCAGGCAAAUUGGAUUCAACUCACAGCAAGCACUCUAGAAACACUUUCAGUAUAAUAGUAGCAACCUCAGAAAUCAUCUGGCAAAUGAGAUUUCAGUAGCGAUAUUUGGUCGAAUAAUCCUUGGGCGCUAUAACCAGACCGCGGCCUUUCCUCGCGCCCCUAUAGACAGUCUCCACGAUGUCGAUGAACUCCUGCUUGUCCUUGAGGGCCCAAUUGAUCUUGUUGUUGUUCCCCGUGCCAAGGUCGAUCAUGAUGUGCUUGUUCCGGAAGAAGAACAUCACUGUCGAGGGAUCAUACAACUCGUACAUGGUAUUGAAGUCAGGGACCUCUGUGAUGUCCACCAGGUAUAUUACUGCAAAGUUCUUGAUGGUCUCUGCAACUGAUGCUAGCACUUCAUCCAUCUGCUUCAACAUGCAAAAUUAAAUCUAAAAAUCCAGGCCAGAACAUAGAAAGGGGGCGAGGAAGCAAUAAAGCAGCAAUACAUAAUUAACAUAGUUUUCAGCAACAAUUUCUGGUUCAAGUGGUUGAAUCCCAUAAAUCAUGGAGGCAAGUUUCCAAUUGACAGAACUUCUGCUAUAAAGGAGACAUAUUAGACCAAGAAAGAAGCAAGCUGGCAGGGAGGAGAGAAAGAGUUAUAGGACGAAAGUUCAGUUCUGUUAGCCUUCUUCGUGACACAUUUUACUAGUACAGAUAACAUUUUACUAGUACAGAUAAUAAUCGAUGCACGUUUCUUACACUUUAUCUAGAGAAAUAGGUUUGAAAAGGGCAAACUGCAUUGUUCCCCCAAGAACUUCUUAGAAAGUUUCACUUUGCCCUCUGCCCUUUAAAAAAUGACAAUCCUAUAACUUGUGGAAAUGUUACAAUUCACCUCUUUACACUUCUUUCCAUCAUCUCCAUUAUUAUAGUUGAAGUUGCUGUUGACAUGGGUACGAUGUUAGCACGCUGGUUUUGCCAUGGUGGCUCAAGAAAGCAGUUUUUUUCUUUUUCCCCCUUUUUGUCAGCGAUCCAUUCAAAAGACUGACUUAUGAGAGAAGGAUUUCUUUGGGCAGAAAACCCCUGUUCUCUCUCAAACAAUGAUCAACAUCCAAAUAAGGGCUAGAGUUAGGGGCCGACGAGUGAUUCUACAAAUUCCGUGUGGAAGAAGGGUGAAGAAUGAAAAUCUAGCUUUGAUUUCCAGAAAAAUCAAAUCAAGCACCUUGCUUGAUCCCCAUCCUCUAGUUGCUAGGAAAGAAACCUCUAGUUAAUUGGUUUCCUCUAGUUGAUCUGUUUCGCUCGAGAAAUGGAAAUCUUGAGGGGUAAAGAAGAUUAUGGACUGAAAUAUGGUAAGCUUUCCUAUAUGCUUUAACUGUUCUAUGAUUUAUGGUUUAAUAUUGGGAUUUGUGGCCUUUUUUAUUGAAUUCAUUGAUGCAGGAGGAUAUGGGGUCGAACAUUUUAGGGGGCAUUUAAAAAAUAUAAGGUUUUAAUAUGGUAAAGAAGAUAAUGAAUAUUUUCAUGGCCUUUGAAUGAAUAAAAGAGAAACUGGGAUGAAGAAAUAUCAAAGUUUGAAAAUACAUCAGAGUUCCUAUUCGAAUUUUUGGGAUUUUUUUAAAAAUUAAUUUGAAAUUUUUGUGAUUAUCUAGGAAUAACAGAAAGAAAAAUAAAAAUAACACCAAAACUCAGAAAAAUUAAAAAAUUUAAAAAAAGGAAAAGAUAGGGGAAGAUAAUUAGAACUCACUCCUUAAUUGGACUCUAUCCGUGGAUUCACUCCAAGGGCGACAAAAUGGGAAUAUUAGUGCUCCAGAAGUUCUAUAUAAAUAUUAUUAAUUUAAAAUUUUGACCGAACCAGUAGAUCCGACUGAUCAUCAGACCCCUCAUUAGAAGUUUUACACUGAGAUUCAUCAUGGGGACUUCUUUGCAGAUAUACUAGACAAAGUUUAUGUGGAUGGUAAUAUUGCUCAUUUUGGUUAUUGCCAUGCCAACGUACUAUCUUUGGUAGAAACCGUAUACACGCUCGAAAAGCUGGGCUACAUUGGAGAAUUCAAAUUCUUUCGAUGUACCAAAGGGAGUGAUUUUGACAAUGGUGUUCACCAGCUAAUUAAUGACAGCGAUGUUUUAGAAAUGGUUGCAAUUGCUUCUGAGCAAGCUUCUUUGGGAAUCUACGUGGAGCAUAUGAAAAGCGUUGAUGCUAUGUAGAUAUAUAACGGAUCAACUAUUUGGAGAAAGCCAAGAAAAACAUCCAAUGAUUAGAAGUGAGGGUUUAAACAACAAUAAUGUUGGAGGAACAAAAGAAGUGGUGAACCAAAUAGGUGUAGGCAACAAAGAAUCACAACUAUUUGGCAUGAAAGGUGUUCGAAUGAUGAAGGAGAGAGAAUAAGGGUUAUGGGGUGAUGACAAUGACGUGGCAAAUCUUGAAUGGAUGAGUGGGUAGCACUAGAGAUAGUGAUUUUGUAGCUCAUGGUCUUGUGGAUAGCGAAUGUGGCUUUACCGAUCACUCUUCAAUGCGCAAGUUGAUGCUGGUGUCAACAUGUCAAGUCAGGAAUGCGAAAUCAGUGGGGUUUUACAUGCUAAGACAAUGGACCAUCAAAUGAGUCUGACUAUGCACCUUGCAAUGAGCUGGAUAUAAUGGAAUCACCCUCUGCAGGUUAAUGGGGUUCAAAUGUCCUGAAUUUAGGGCUGAAAUAAAUUUGGUAUGAUAUUUUGAGCUGAAUACCAUACCAAGCUGAAUAUAGUGGCAUAAUACCAAGCUCAAAAUGUGGGUUUUGCAAACUCAGGAGCUUGGUAUGAUAUUUAGCCCUACAAAUGAGCUUACAAGUGCAGUUAGGGAGUAUAGCAUCAAUAAUAAGUUUAGUAUCAGAGUCAUUACUAAUGACAACAACAGGGUGAGAGCUGCUUGUAAGGAGAAACAUCCUUGCCUCAUUUUUUUGCAUCAUAGGUUCAAGAUGAUAAGACAAUGCAGGAGGUAUAAUCCUACGGGUACCUAUUGUAAAGAGUUUAGAAAUAGAUAUGUGACAUCCGAUUGGCUCAUAAGAAAAUGUGCAUAGAUUUAGAACUGAUCCUAAGCAGUUAUUAGAGCGCUUGCAAACCUAGAUCUCAAUGUUAAUGUGUCUAGAACAAGUACAGGGCAAGAAGAAAGGCCCUGCACUUAUCGACUGUAUUGAAAAAGUGCAAGUGUCUAUUGGAGUUGAUGUAGCUUAUUCAAUCAAAAUGAAUGGAAAUUAUAAAAGUUAGGGACCUAAUAGAAAAAAAGAAAAGUUAGGGACCAAAGUGAGAAAACUGAUGAAGGUAAGGGACCAGUGGUGCAAUUAACCCUUUAUCUUAUGGUUCUACUUCUUUAAAGCAUGCCCUGAAACUUAAUUCCAUGAAUUUUCUCUCCUGAUUUAUGGUCUUUUUGGAAGCUUGCAGGGGUUAAUCCCAUCUUUACAAGAGCUUGUACCAGAUUCCGAACAUAGGUUCUGUGUUCAGCAUCUUUAAUCUAAUUUUGAGACCACUCACAAGGGCAGUUACUAAAGGAUAUAUUAUAGGCUGCUACUAGGGCUACUAACACUUAGAAAUUUGAUAACUGGAUGAGGAUCAACAGAGCCAGACCUGAUGGCUUAUAAGUGGUUACCCGAGAAGCCACCACAGCAAUGGUUGAAAUCGCACUUUGUAGAAUUCCCCACAUGCGGUAUGCUAAUGAAUAGCAUGUGUGAGUGUUUCAACAGAUAAAUUCUUGAAGCUAGGAGAAACCAAUUCUCUCUAAGCCAAAUGCUGUCAACCUUAACUUGAUAAAUAGGUACAUCUGAAGAUAGAAGCAACUAUGAGAUUUAAGGGGAGGAUUUGUCCUAGGAUUCAAAUAAAAUUGUGGUUCAUUUAAUCUAAGGUCGCACAUGCAGAAGGUGGGGAUUAUCUUGAAUUCCAUGCGCUCAUGUAGUUUUAGCAAUGCUCCAUGAGAACUUGCAGCCUGAAACUAUGUAUGAGUGGAAUACAGUAGAAGCUCACAAAAAGAAUUGCGAGCACCUAAAUCCUAUUAAUGGUCAAAACAUGGACUAGGACUGGCCUAGAGCCUAUAUAACCACCAGUUUUUUCAUGGAAAAUCUGAAAGGCCAUAGAAAGCUUGAAAGAAGUUAGUUGCAAAGCAAGUUAACGCAGAAAGAUUAAGUAGGCAGCAGAUUAGGAUAACAUCUACUAAAUCUGUACAGAAAGGGCACAAGAAAGUCUUCUGUAACACUAGAGACCACACAACCAGACCAGCACUAAAAACAGAUUUACAUUGAUUUACUAAAAACAGAUUUACAUUGAUUUAGAGCAUAUCGACAUAUAGUAUUGGAACACACAAAGUAGAAAAUGAAAAGGGAAGUUGAAUAUGAAAAGAAAGUGUGGUUGAUGAAAGGAGUUGCUCUAGCAAAGCGCAAAAAGAACAAAGAGAGUGGAUCAUUUGAAUCACCCUUGUAAUUGUGCCUCAAGUUCUGCUACAGGGUACCAAAGAAACUACAGUUAGAAUCAUCAGCUCAAAUCACAACAAAUCCAGCACAACCAACAAACUUUAUUAGGAAUCGCAAUUACAAAACUCAAUCACACCACCUCCCAUUGGAACUCAGACUUCCAUUGCUCAUGCAAUGGCAAGAGGUAAGGUGAAGAGGGCUCCUAGCGAUGUAGGUCAGGGCAAAGGGUAAGGAAACGGGGCGAAACAAUCCAGGCACAGCAUCAUUAACAUUUGUUAUAUUCAUGGUCUUUCUCUCUUAGAAGAUUUGAAAGUAUUGGUCCCUGCACUUUGCACUUUGUUUGAUAAAACGUUCAUACAUACAACUACAUACGAAUAUAGCACUAUAACUACGAAUUCAAGGAAUUAAAAAAAAUUUAAAGAUACCAUUUAUAGUCAGCGACCCAAAUAGCAGCAGCUAUAGCAAUUUUAAUGGGUAAACACUACACUAUGCUGUUGAAAACAUACUAUAGCGUACUAGGAUCAUAGCGGCCGCUAUGGCGCCCACAGUGGCUGCUAUAGCGAGACCAUAGCAGCCACUAUGGUGAGACAAAAAAGCGGGCCCAUUUUAGACCUCAAUUUUCUAGAGAUUCAAUAGGUUGAUUACAUCCUAAAAUCAUUAAAAUCAUACGAGAUUGUCCAAAUAGAAGAACUAAGUUAUUGGUGGGUACCAAAGGAACUAUUCCAUCAUGUUUCUUAUUGGAAACAAGUGAAAAAAUCGUGAUUUUAUUUGUGUGGAGAGAAAAGCAACAUCGGACAACACAGGUUUAUUGGUGACCAUUAGGGAUCACCGCGAUUAUGAACGAUCACUAUGCUAAGUAAAAACACUGUUUGGAAUAUAAAUUUAGAGAAAUUGAAAGUGCUAUACUUCUAUAUUUGGAAGUUGGAACUAACAUGUAAGUCCUAUCAUUUCAAAUACAAAUGCAGUUGGGAAUUUAAGCAUUGAAAUAAUGUAUUAUGAAUCUCACUACAGGUUCAUAGCGGCAGCUAUAGCACCCUUAAUCCGCUAUCCACUUUGAUAUCCCCCAAACACUAAGUACCUACUAUCCGCCAUUUACAACUUUGUUUGUAGUCAUAAUGUCAUAGAGGUCAGACCAUAUCAGAUCAAUUUGCAAGAUUUAACAAGAAAUAUAGAAAUGAACCAAACACUCACAAUGUUAGCAACAUAGCAUCAAAUGGGAUUAAGCAUGGAUGUUAAUGCUCCAUAGCUACUGCAUAAACAUAAGAAAAGAGUCAAUGUAAACUUGUGUUGAAUUACCUAGUCAUCUACUGAAUGUGUAAUUUAGAAAUCUUGUAAUUUAGAAAUCUAUUAAUGCACAGCAUGAAAUGAUUUCUAAAAACCAAAUAAGAAGAAGAGGUGAAAACAAAAGAACCAAUGAUUAGUGAAGCAGAAUCAUCAACAAAGUACAAAGUAGAAAUACAGAAGACAGUGCAAAUCAAUCAAGGUACAACUUCAUAUCCUAGCACAAUGAAGACAACCAUUAAACUAGACAUUCUAUUAACGAAAAAAAUUUGAAAGUAAAGCAGCAUUGUAUUUACGUUUCUCCCUUCUCAAGCUUCUUAUAACAAGACAAAAACCUAACCAAACUAGAAAUCAAGAAGUAAAUUCCCAAACAGAGUUCAAUGCAAUUCCCAAACAGAGUUCAAUGCAAUAGAUAUUUAACUUGGUCUUUUGUCGUGAUUGUUGCACAAUUAUCAUUUCUAUGAUGGAGAACAAAGCUAAAUCUUGAGAUGAAGCACUUCUCAAAAACCUAGAAGAUCUCAUGAGUAAGCAAUAAAAGCCUUAAAACUUAUUGAAGAUACCUCAACUACAAACUCUACUAGCAACUAACAAUGUGCUAUCUGACAUCAUCUGAAAGGUGGUUUCUCAAAUCUACUCAGAGAGCCAUGGUUCUCGUGGCCAUGACAACUACUAUAACAGCUAUUCAUUCCAACUAGUUGGUCUACAUAUCGCAUAUGUCUAUGUUGCCUGCAAAGAUUGCUUGACACGUUAAAUUGAAUACAGUGGGGAACUCUCCUCCUCCAACAAUUUGAGUGAUGAAAAAGAAUGCGGUUUCCAAGCCUCUGUUUAAGACCAACUACUGAGCAGGAAAGGAUGUCAUGCUGGCCACAAGAUUUUCAGAAGAAAAAAGAUUGGUUGUGCAUUGCCAUUAUUGAAGGCUCUACAGCAACACCAUAUUUUAGAAAGGCACAUUAGGGCCCUACUCCCAUAUGCAGGCAUCUAAAUCUCUACAUCUGAAGAAGAAAUAAUACAACUAAUUUUAGUGAAAUUACAUUAGACAUUCAAUUUUUUGUUUCAAUGACAGAAUAUAAGGAUUGUCCAUGAAUUUAAUGAGCCACAUCGAACAAUUAAUCAAUCUAGGUCUAGAAAGGCAUUUGAAGCUUAAGAAAAAGAAUAAUUUCCUUUGAUGAUUUCUCCAAAAAGCUUAAGGAAAAAAAAAAAGGAUUUCCUUUGAUGAUAGCAAAAACCCUUGAAGACUAGAUUGCUAAAUGAGAGUAAAUAUCACCAAAACACGAACAAAGCAAAUAGCGGUCCAAAAGGGAAAUCAAGCAAGAGGUAAGUUCACAGCUUUCACAUUUAGCUAAUUAUCUGCUGCUAGUCUUAUGAAAAUCCAAAAUGACGCAUUGCCUACUAGUGAAAAUUAAGAAACAACAGUCAAUUGCUACCAAGUGCUGACAAUAGUUAAUGGUAUAUAACUUACUUAAUACAUUAAUGUCUAGGAUUAUUCCAAGUGUACGAAGGAAUAAGAUUCUACAAAACAUAUCAAAUGUGAUCUAAAUCUUUGUGUCACGAACGCAGGGGUAAAUAUUUUAUAAAAAAAAAGAAAAUAAUGCACCGAUAACCGACGCGCUCGGCUAAAAGGGGAAGGGCAUGUCUUUUUGGGUCAAAACCCAUUUAGUAAAAUAAAUAAAAAAAAUCUAAUUUAUAAAAAAAAAAUAACCAUAUUAAAAAGAUAAAAAUUUUUCCCAUCGUUCUCAUGACUCUCCACUGUUCCUCUCCAUAAGAGCCUCCAAAGGUAUUCUCUCUCUCCAUCUCUAUUUUGCAUUAGAAUUAUAAUUUUUUUGAAUUAGAUUUUUUUUUUUGCCAUUAAGAUUAUUUUUUAAUUAGGGUUAUGUUUUUUUAGAUAUUUUUCAAUUUUAAUCUAUUAUAAUGCGGACUAGAGACCUCAAUAUUUUAGUUGUUUUCUUCAACUUGUCAUUAACUAUUUUAUUUAUUUUACGCUAUUUUAAAAAAAAAAUCUCUUCAUAGGGUUAGGUCAGUAAAUGUGAUAGAGUAGGCGGGAGAAAUUGCUCAUUCAAAUGUCGCUUUUGUAGUAUGACUAAAAAUUUUCGAUCAAAGGAAUUAGAGGAUGUACACAAGUGACUCCACAAUAUCUUAACAAAUUUAAAAAAGAAAAUGAAGAAGCGAACUUUAGAGCAAAGAAUGCAAAAUCGAAAUCGGUACUGUUACCACCAUUUACUAGUCAAGUAGCCAAGGAGGAUCAUCAAGUGGUGUUAAUAUUGUUUCACUUAAUAGUUUUCAUCUGAAGAAAAGAAAGGGAAAUAGGGAUACGCCUUUGGAAAAGGCAAUUAAUUUACAAGCUAGUAAAUUAUUACAUACGAAAUAAUCUAGCUAGAAACCCUCACUACAUUAGUUCCUAUCUAUGUAUCACGGACACUUCUAUUAGCCUAGCGUGUCUGUGUCGGACACUGGCAUGUCCGAUGUGGACACUUCUUGGAAGCUCGUUUAAUGCCGAUCCAUAGAGCAAACAAUUAAAAAAAGUAUACAUAUUUUUAUUUUACUUUUUUUUUAUGCAUUAUAAAUGUAAGAUGAUAAAUAUUUUAGCUUUUUGAUGAAUGCAUACAAAUUUUUUUGACAAUAUAAAUAAAUUAUAUAUGGUGCGGAAUUUUUCUUCAAAUAUAUGAAUUAUCAAUAAAAAUUUUACUAACUUUCAUUCGUAUGAGAAAUAUAACAAUAUUUUACCAAAAUUAAUAUUUUGUAUAUAAUAAAUAUAUAUUAUUGUAUUUAAUAAUAUUAUAUUUUAUUAGGGGUGCCCAUGUCGUGUCCAUGUCCUAAUUUUUCUAAAGCUGCCAAAUCGUCGUGUCCAAGUCAUGUCAUGUCCUGUGCCAGUAUCCAUGACGCCUAGGUUCCUAUACAUACACGGUCAAUCAUAUGAUUAGUGGCUAUAUUUUUCACUGUGUUAAUAUGCUAAGAACUACUUUAUUUCAAAAGCAAAGAGCACAUGUAGAAAAUUUAUUAGAACCGAUUAAAGGAACAUGAAGCGAAAAAGAUAUAAAGUAUUGUUUGUGAUGGUUGGAGCAAUCCUGAAUGAAAACCAUUAAUUAAUUUCAUGGCCAUGACGAAGGAUGGUCCUAUAUUCUUAAAGGUAAUUCAUAAUGAAUGUGUGGAGAAAGAUAAGAAUCAUAUUCAAAUUUAAUUAAAAAGGUACUUUUGGAGGUUGGGACAUCAAAAAUAAUUUAAAUUAUAAUUGACAGCGCAUAUGUAUGUGGAAUGGCGGGGAGAAUUAUACAGCAACAAUUUCCUCAUAUACGGAGAAUAAUUAUAUUGCAUAUGAAGAAGGAUUAUGGAGAUAUAUGAUGACGUUACGGGUGUAAAGAAUUUUGUGAUGCGCCCCACUUCCUGGGGGUCAUCCAUCCUGAAAUUACUCUAGCCCUAGUCUCGCUCAACCCUCUUAACCUCUUGAACGUAGCCACCGCUACUAUAGCCGAGUGAAGAGUUUUAGCACUCUUACACCUUAUAUGUAGGACAAUUGCAAAUCCAAAGGGUGUGUCACAGUUAACCGGUUGGACCUAGCCACUGCCCAAAUGUUAUAGUCGGUGUUGCCGUGUCCAAGUCGUGUCCGCUGUUCUGUGCCUACAUCCGCGACGCAUAGAUCUAAAUCAUGGACAAAACAAUCGUAGGACAGUAUUAUCUCAACUAUAGUAGUAAUGUCCUCAAGGAUGCAUCUUUUAGAGUUGAAAUCCCUGAUGUUUGGUGCUUGUCGACUCUGCAGCCAUCAAGGGGAAAAGAGCAAGAAGAACAACAAAUAAAGAAAAAGUCCCCAAAAUAUAACUUGCAAAACGAGGGACACGUAAUUUGGAAUUACAGGAUGUUGAAUAAAGCUAUACAUCGGUAAAACAUGCACAAUUGGACAGAAAUUAAGCAUCUAAUUGGACAUCCAUUGAAGACGAUUAAUAAACGAUAACAGAUCGCGGUAAAAACACUCGUGGGUCCUUAAAAACCCUAAUAACUGGACGGACUCGACGGUGGAUUGAUUGAGUGGAAACCCUAUUUUUUGAAAGAGGAGGAAUCGGAAAGGAAGCGAAAGAAGAAAGAAAGAAAGAAUCAAUAUCAAUACAAAUACAAGUAUAGAGAGAAACAGAGAGGGGGAGGGUUGGUGAGCAGCACCUGCAUGCAAGUCUCGUCCCAGUCGUGGCCGAAGCGGAUGAUGACGAGGCGCUCCUCCUCCGCCAAGAUUGCCUGAUCCACUGCCCAUCCCGAGUGCAGGUGCGGAAGAAGGUACGACAUCUCUCCUCUCACUCUCUCUCUCUCUCUCUCUCUAGCGAAUCCCCUCUCGAGUCGCACAGGCUCCGAUUCCGUGUGAGGAGGCGACCGACGUAUAGACAGCCGAAACUUCUGGAUUUUUUCUUUUUCUUUUUUUAAUUUCCCUUCACCGUCACUAAUUUUUUAGAAUUAAACUUUAUUCUAAAGUUGAAACCAAAUGUCGUUCCUCCAUCGAACUACAUGAUCUGAAUAUUAAAUACAAUAUGCAUGAAUAUUAAAUACAACUAGCAACUAACCCAAUGCACAGAUUUUAAUUU
RNAcentral lists this long non-coding RNA (73477 nucleotides) under Ananas comosus (pineapple). RNAcentral's name for it is "long non-coding RNA (ACOM_LNC026834)". Lineage: Eukaryota; Viridiplantae; Streptophyta; Magnoliopsida; Poales; Bromeliaceae. The record is from RNAcentral.